Molecule: long non-coding RNA, 56306 nt
Filed under: Prunus persica (peach)
Lineage: Eukaryota; Viridiplantae; Streptophyta; Magnoliopsida; Rosales; Rosaceae
Description: long non-coding RNA (PPER_LNC008292)
Source: RNAcentral
UUUAUUGCACAAAAAUUGGCUGCCGUUGGAUUGGAGAAAAAAAAUCUGAUCGGAGAGCCCAGAGUGCGACACGUGGACUUUUAGUGGUACUGUAGCGCCAGACAUUGUAGCACUGCGGCACUGUAGCGAUGACGUCAGCACCAAAACGAGGGCUGGAGCUCGGGCCAACCUUGCCCUCGGGCCAGCCCAGGUUGCUGGGUCCCACCUUGCGCUCGGGCCUGGGCUGUGCACUGGAACACCUUUUUUUUUUUUUUUUUUUCUCCCCUAGCCUCGGGCUGUGCCGUUGGAGUUGGUCUAAGUGUGUAGCUAUGGAAUCCUAUCAUCCUAGGGUUUUCAAGUUGGUGAAAUUGGAAGAGAGAAAACAUCAAGCUCUCUCUCCUUAACCCCUUGAAUCUAUCACAUCAAGUGAGGGUGCUAGCACCACUCUUCACUUGUUGUCUACUCAUUCUCUCAUCUCAUUCAAUCCUUGGUGAAGAGUUUUGAGGAGGUGCAUAUCUUUGUACCUAUUGGAUAGCUACAAGAUGGAGAAUCAACAUUAAAAGGGAGAGCCAACAACAAAGGGACCACUCCCUCUACAUGAUCACCAUUCUUGGUUUCAAGAUUCACUCCAAGGGUAUGAACAUCUUAUCUUUCUCUCAAAUAGGAUUUAGAGAGUCUUUGAUGCACACUUUCAUAGACUUAUAAAGAUUGUGACCAAAUGAGACUUGCAUGAAUCCCUAGUUUAUUUAAUGCUUCCGUUUUUACUUUGAUUUCAUAUUAGAUAUGACUUGCUAAGUGAUUUAUAUUCUCAAAGUUUGGUUAUAGAGUUUUUAGAAAUCUCUACACAACACCAUUCCCACAAUAUUCCCUUCAAUCCCUUGAUAUUGAUUGUGACUCUUUAUCUGUUGUUUCUCUCAUGGCCAAGGUGUUUGCCCAAUCGCACCCCCUUUUUUGUCUAAUUGAAGAUUGCAAGUUGCUGCUAAACCGUGAUUAUGUUUACAGGGACGAAAUAGAGUUGCUGACCACCUUGCUAAUUUGGGGCAUGAAUUACCUUUUGGGCUUCAUAAUUUUGAGUCAGCUUCGACUUCUAUUUCGAAGAUUUUAUUGGACGAUGUGAUAAAAAGGGCCCUUGAAAGGGCUGUGAUUUGUAAGUUUUUUUCUUCUAGUUUCGUCUUCACUUUGGCCUCGUUGUAAUAAACAAAAAAAUGGGACAACUGACAAAUAAUGUUUACAGAUAUAAUUUACUAUGCAUAGAGAUAAUGACAGUGAGAUAUGAUAGCAAGAUUAAUGUACAGAAAUAAUCAAUUUCGUAAACCUUAUUAUAUUAUAUAAAUAAUUAUGUUGGAUUUGCAAAGCAUAUCUAUGCAUGUGUUUUUGCUUGUAAAAUGUCACCCACAUCAAUGAGAUGGAUAAAAUAGCCAAGACAUGAGUUCGCUCUCGUAUAGUUAAGUUUGAACCCCUUCACGUAAAUUAGAUUAAUUUAAAAUAUAUUAUUGCUCGUUUAAAAAAAAAAAAAAACUAAUGAUUCUCUUGAUUUGUUUUUUCAAUGCAUUACUCGUGUGUUAUUGUAUCCUUUUCGCACCAUCCGGAAGAAACAGGACGGAUAUAUAUUCCUAGACUGAGGAGGGAUUUAAAUAUAUGAAAAUGAAAACGAGACUUACCAAGUUUGGAGCUAGGAAAGCCUGUUUAUACGGAUUGAUUGAAAGCUUGAGCAAGAAUCUCGCACCAGGAAAAACUUGUGCAAGAAAAAUCCGCACCAGAUUUUAACAACAGUAAGGAAAAGCAAAUGGGUAGAAUUGAGGGAAGCCAUACACAUGGAUUAGGUGCAAAAUUUAUGAAUGAAGGUGGGAAACUUGAUGUAUGGCAAAGAUGAGAAAUUAUACAGUAGUAUGGUAGUACCACGUCUCAAUUGACAAGUGGUACUACAAUCCAUUAAGCUUGCAACACAUGGAUGUACUAAAUUUCUCUCUAACGACGUUUGUUUCUCCAAAACCUCCGUCUCUUACUUCUUUCUUUCUGCACUUUAUCCAUGAACACAUUGCAUAUGCAGAUCAAGUUUAGAGCACCCAUUACCUGUCAAAGAUUUUGAGAGAGAAUAACAAAAUUUCCAAAGGCCCAUUAAUUAGAGAUCUAUGAACAAAUUGAAGAACUUUGCCCAACAAAUCCAUGACCCACAAUCUUUGUUGGUAUAUCACACCAUCAUUUUACGCAUAUUCAUUACUCAACAAAGACCCAUCAAAGAUCAUGGGUUGAUUAUGGCUGAUUCCUAAAAUAAAAUAAAAAUUAUGGGUUGAAAAACACCUUCUCUUGGAGAAAGAAUAUAAAAAAAUCUAAAAAAUUUGGCAAUUUUCAGUGAGAGUUUGCGUCAAAUAAAUCAACCGCUAAAAGAAAUAAUCUUGGCUUCUCGCAUCAUGUAACUCCAUUGUUUUGCAUCGAAGCUUUACAGAGAUUUUUAAUUUGCUUUUUCCUCUUCUUAUUAAUAUUAUUAUUCUCUUAUCUGGUCCGCACUUUCAAACUUUUUUUUUUGGCAAUGUCAGCGCCUUCAAAACUUGAGCUCAGUCUAGGAAGAAUAACAAAGAAACCGAGGAUUGGAGAAGACAAAUGUUGUCACGGAGAAAUUUAUUACCAUCAACAUGUUGCAAGCUCAAUGGAACGUAGUACCAUGUGUCAAUUACUACGUGGUAUAAUAUCGUACUACUGUAUAAUUUCUCAGCGAUAACAGAGUAGCAUUCAGACACGUGGCUUGCCAAGCAUUAGAAAGUUGCUACUUCACCCAUAUAGGUGGCAUUCAAUAAUUUCACUCAAGAUUAUAAUUUAGGCAAAAUGUCAUUUUUCAUCCUUGUAAUUUCCAUGUUUUACUACUUCGAUCUCUGUAGUUUCAAUUCGUUAAUUUUGUUUAUAUAAUUUUGAAUCCUUCAUAAUUCAAGAACACGUUACAAAUUCUGUUAACCACGCAUAUCACGAGCAUCUUCGUUGCAAGGCCUAUGCAUUGUCAUUUCAGCGCCCCAUAAUAUUGUUUGUCAUUCAUAUUACAGUUUAGCCCAAACUUAAAAAAUAUAAAUAAAUAAAUUCAAUUUGUAUACCCAAAAAAAAAAAAAGAAUUCAUUCAUGCAUAUCAGGGAUGGGCAAGUCAGAAAUGAGUUGUAAACUUGUAUAGAAUAACUACCUUUCUUUUUCUUUGAUUCCUAUUUUGGACGAUGAUAGAUUAGUUAGGUUUUGCCACGAAGUAUUCUUUAGUAGUUUUUUAAAGGGUUUUCGACCGAAAUGGUUUUUAACUAUUGCUCCAAUAUUAUUUUGGUCUAUCAAUUAAAAUUUUCAUUUCAAUAGUCCUUCAACUUUUCAUUUAGCAUCAAACUUGUUGGUAACUGAAACCAAAAUUUAAAGGAUACUCUGUAUAUUGAAAGCUGAAGACUCUUUUAUAUUAAAUCAGAACAAGAUUACAACUUAAAUGGAAGCAAAGAAAACAAAUUCUAACUGCACUAUAACCACUAACACAACUAGUGCAGAUUUUGUGGACAUAACAACACUAAACAACGGAAGCAAAUUGUGAUCGUGGUGAGCAGACUCAACCACAUCCCCUACAUGCUAGGACUCUAGCUUGACUUGGUCUCUAUGUUACCAGGACAGCAUUAGUUAAUUAAAAGGAAAAUGCUAGGGAGACCAACUUUAGAUACCAACUUGUGUACCAACUCUCUAAUAGAGUGUGGGACCCAUUGUAUUGGUGGGCUCCACCUCUAUUAGAGAGUUGGUACACAAGUUGGUAUCUAAAGUUGGUCUCCCUAGCAUGACCCUAAUUAAAAACAUAAUUAAACAUAACUAAAUAACUCUUAACAAAACCGAUCCUACUAUCAAAUAUUUCGUAAAAUCGAGAGGCAAAAAAGUAAAAUAUUAUUUUAAAAAUUAAAAACUGAAAUGCCCAAUCAUCUAAAACCCCAACGAAAAACAAAUCCUUGACUUCCCCUUCCUCAGCAAGCAUGCACAGUGGCUUCCAUGGCUUCCACAAAAAAUCUAACUCAAACCCAUCACAAUCUUCUACCCAUUCACUCCCACUCAAAUCAAGCCCAUGAUCAUCUCCUUGUCUCUCUACCAUCAUCUCUUGCUGCUACUGCGAUUUCAAGUUAUGGGCUUCAACCAAUCCCUCUUUCAUUUCGGCAGAACCCACUCCCAAAUUCUCUGCAACCAUUGUCUUGUUUUGCUGCUCUUCAAAUUAUUGUGCUGGACUUUGGCACAACGCAGUGGUAAGCUUACAUUUGUUUUCGUUAUUUAUUUAUUGAUGGAGAGUUAAAGUAUUUGCAAAAGCUAAUGCAAAUUAGCCUUCAAAUUUCAUUCACCUCUAGUGGUGUGCAAUUUGUGGGAUGACAUUACUUAUCCUGCUCUUCUGAGAGAGGGGGGGAGAGAGAGAGACGUGCGGCUGCAGGUUAGGCAAAUUGGCGUGGGGUGGUGGCUAGGAUUUUUUGUGAGGACUGUUAAUAGGGCGGGCCAAAUAGGGGUGAUAAGGAAAUUAGGGUUUGUUUUUUUGUUGAUAAAAAAUCUAAUUUACCCUUAAAAUUUGAGCAUGUGAUCCAAUUUAACAGAAAAUGUAACAGAAGAAUCAAUUUGACACAAAAUAGAAAGUUGAAGGACUAUUGAAAUGAAAAAUUUAAGGUCCGUUUGAUAACCAUUUCAAUUUUAUUUUUUAUUUUUUGUGUUAGAGUAUAGAGGAAAAUGAGAGUGAUAAUGGGCAUAAAGAUGAAAUUGAGAAGAUGAUGAGAAUGGAGAAUGGGAGGAAGGAGUGAUAAAAGUGAAAACAAUUUCAAAUAUAUUUCAGUAUUUAGUUUUUGUUUUCACUUUUGUUACUCAUCCCUCACAUCCUCCCUUUCAGUCUUAUCUCCACUCUCAUUCUCACUUUCAUUCUCCCUUUUUUUUUCUCUAUACUCUAGCACAAAAGAUAAAAACUAAAAACUAAAGUUGAAAUGGUUAUCAAACGGCUGAUGGACCAAAAUGAUACAUGAGCAAUAAUUGGGAACCUUUUCCGUCAAAACCCAUUUUAAAAAAAAUCUUUUUGUGUUCAUUCCACGUUGUGACCAUAAAGAAAAAAGGAAACGCAUAUAUACCAUCGUAUACCAAGUUUUUAAAGUGAGAGAUUCCCUAACCCAAAAAGGAUUACCAGCUGUGUAAAUACACUUGAAAGUUGAAAAGACAUUUUACACUAAUUUUCCUCACUUGCAAUGCAAGGACAAAGUUUUUAGGCCUAUUUCCUUCCAAGGUUAAUCUGGUUUUCCCCAGGUAACAAACAAGAAAAGAAGAUUCAUUGCUCUCUCAUUCAUGUCGGCUUUCGCAAACUCAGUUUCAGACGAAAUGUCAAAAGAUUAACUUUGUUCAACACUGAACAAUUACAGCCAAACCAGAAGGAGCCUGAAGCUAUUCAACAACUCAAUUAUGGUUUUAUUCAUAGAUGUGAUCUGAGGAAAAUUCAUAGAUGUGAUCAAUACCACAAGCAAAGAGAUGUGCAGCAAAUCAAAACGCAUAUUGCACCCAAGAGCUGCUAAUAAUAAUUUUUUAAAAAUUUCUCAUCAACAUUGACCAACCAAAUCAAGCUGGCAAGUCAAUGUUGACUUUAUAAUAAAACUAAAACAAUGUGGAGUCAUUCUAUAGUGAGGGCUUUAUAUAAAGCAGUUCGAUGAGGUCCUAUCUAUCAACCGUUAGAUUUAUUUAAUUAAUUUAAUUAAUUAAAUGCUGAAAAGAUAAGGUCUCAUCUAAGAGCCUUAAAGUCCUCACUGUAGCAUUCUUGACGAAAGCAAUGUGAUUCCUCGACGUGAAUCGCUUUGAAUCAAAAUAUUCCAAGUAGGUAAGUGAAAUGGUAAAACUGGGCCCUCUGCCCCGCCCAAGCUUAAAAUUUCAGCCUGAGAGUUUGAGCCGGGUUGAUGCUGAAAUAUUUUUGCAUUUCACUAUGGGCUUUUGCUUGAUAUGCAUAUUAGGCCGAUUUAUAAUUAAUUAGUUUGAGGCUUCUCUAGAUUCCACCAUCCAGCCCAUUUAACAUUAAGGCUAGGUCCAGCUUUUAUAAAGGGAUGGUAUUCUUCUAUGUUUCUCCAAUGUAUACAUGAUGUGCCCAAUAUAGGGAAACACUUUUCAUUGUGUCAGUAUGUGAUUAGCCGGGAUAGCAAAACAGUGUUAUCUCCCUUUCAUACAAACUUUUCUGCCCAAUAUGAAGUAUACGUGUUAUAAUUCGUGUAAACUUGUAACAUCAUAUUGACAUGCCACAUUCGUUGGAUCACUCAAUAAUUUCCUGCAACUCAUCAUUCUCAAAUUAAUUUGAGCCUUAUGGUAUUCCCCAUCCUCAGCCAGCAGCUUCCAAUCCCAGAGAGAGUAAAGAAGAUAGUUUCCUAUUCAUGCAGCAGUUCAUAUUGAUACCUUCCUACCAGUUGAGAUUUUAGGUCCCCAUGAAUUUAGCAGCAGCACACAAAUUAUAUGUUUCCAACCAACACUCUAAAACUCUCAUUAGUUCUUAAUAAAAAGCAAAAAAAUAAAAAAGGUCUCUUCAGUCUUGGUGCACAUCUUCUGAAAAAGAAGCAAGAAUUUCCUUGAGCUGCUUGUUGUAAACGAAAGGUCUUUCCAUUUGAACAAGGUGGCCUGCCUCCUCUAUACAUUGCAGUUUUGCGCUGCCUCCUAAUUGCCUGUAAAUAUCAGAGUUUCAAAUUCAUUAUAUGUCAAGUCUAAAAUAUUUCUGUCACUAUCCCAAAUUCAAUUAUUUCAGCCAGUUAUUGUUUUGUAUCGAAGUCAAGUCCAGGUCAACAAAGGUAUUUGAACCCAUUCCACAAGGUAGAAUAACAUACAUUCUUAGGUUCCUGGCUGUUUCCAUGUUGAAAAUUUUGUCAUUCUCUCCCCACAAAAGAUGCACUCUCUGCAAGAAAAUGAAUCAUUAGCCUAUUAAAGAAAUAUGACUACCGCUAUGCUCGCUUCGCUAAUAUUUUAUCAACAAAAAAAUAUGACAGUCUUCGUUUAUUCAAUAAGUGUCUACUAACAUACAUAGUAUCAACAUGGCUCUAACUCAAAGGGAAAAGACUCAUCUACUCUUAAAUUUAAUGAAAAUAUUGAUAGAAGUAACGGUGGGACUAGUAAUCCAAACGAAACUAAAGUUAAAGAACUUUAGGUACCAUUUUGAAAAUUGAGGUAUUCAAAUACAAAUCCGGUCAAAGUUAGGAAACUAAUAAAACGAUUAACCCAAACUUCAAGUUAUCUGGAGACAAGCGCAAAAGCAACAAACCUGUGGAAAAUCAGCAAUAGUAAAGUCCUUGUCAUCAACUACCAAUGCCCCUAGAAGUUCUUCCUUCUCCUUUCUGUUGCCAAACAUAACCUGCAACCAUUCAUGGAUCAUUGAAAUGUUUUAGACUACCAGACCAUUUGCCCGAAAAUAUUUUUACUAAUAAAUUAUUAAUUAAAAGCUUUACCUCAAGGCAAUCUUUGUAAAUCCAAUCAGGGAGAUAAGGAAACUUGUAAGCAGCAAUUUCAAACAUAUUUCUCACACCUUUGACCGAGUCAGGAAGCAAGUAAUCAGGCCAGCAUUUGAACCCAAGUCUCUCAAGAGAAGCAUCACUGAUGGAUCUGGUCAAAGCCAAAACUGAACCAGUCGCCACAAUGGACUCAACCAAAUUGGGGUGCAACUCAGCCAUUUUGAACCCAACCAUCCCACCAUAGCUCAAUCCCACCAAGGUGCACCUCUCCACCCCCAUCUUCCUCAAACCCUUGGCCACACACUCAGCUUGAAACUCCGGUGACCUAUCUAAUUUAUCUGUGAUGGAUCCCCCGAAGAAGAGAAAGUCCGGGACAUAAACGGCGUAGUUUUUGGCCAAAGAUAGCACUUGAAGUUGCCAUGUGAAAAUACCAUCCAUUGCAAAGCCAUGAAGGAACACCACGGCUGGCUUCGAUUUCUUUGGUGUGUUUUCAAUUUUGUUGGGGAUAUUACUAGAGACCCAGAAGUUCAUGAUCGUUCCUGGCUCUAUUUCGACAGUUUGGGGUCUCACCCCAACUAGUUUCAUAAUUCCAUGCAGAAUAAACUUGUAUACUGAAAAAAUGUUCACCAUCUCUCUCUCUCUCUCUCUCUCUCUCUCUCUCUCUCUCUCUCUCUCUCUCUCUCUCUCUCUCUCUCUCUCUCUCUCUCUCUCUCUCUCUCUCUCUCUCUCUCUCUCUCUGGUGCACACAAAGACAGGCUAAACGCGGUGUUAACUUUAUAAGACUUAUUGGCAGCUGGCAUAUGUAAGGGCAACGUCUACGGUGGACUUAGCACACCGAUGCGUCAAUUUUUCAAAAUUGCCACAGCAGGUAGCAGGUAAUAUUAUAUAUAUUAUAUUUCAAAAAUAAAAAGAAAUAGAAAAGAUUAUGGUGGUGCUCUCCACACCUUAACAUAUCCAUCCAUCUCAACCAUAAUACCUAAUUUCAUUUGAGAUUUGUUUUUCUGAAACAGAAAAGCUUCUCUUUUAUCACUCUCUCGACGGCGACUAAAAAUCCACCCAUCUCAACUGCCAACUUCUCUAUUUCUCGACGACAGUGACUGAGUCUUCCUCCCAUUUACAGAUUGCUCAGCUCUCCUCUCUUGAUAGUGAUGUCUUGAUGCAAACUGCACGCACCAUCUUCGAUCUCAUCUUAGCCCAGGUAUGAUGUGUUACUGCCGUAUUUUCAAAUCUUGGACCUCAUCUCAUCACCCUCUAGCAAAUAUCAUUUUUCUUGAUUUUUGUUUUUUGUUUUUUGUUUUUUUUUUAUUCUCUUGUAUUUCUUGUUGAGCCUAAUAUUUUCUACAUUUAAUAUUCUGUUGUAGUUUUUGAGUUGAAUUAACUCUCAAGAUCCACUUGGUAUGAAAUUUUAGAUUGAAAUUCCAAUUUUUGGUGGGUCGGUUUCAAUAUCUAUAAAUUGUUUCUUUAUUGAACUGUAUACUAGUGUUUAAAUUAUAUAAUGAUGAUCUUCUUAUAAUUUUUGAAAUUCUAUUGAAUAUGAAUUUUUUUCUCUAAUUACCUUUUCCAAGGUCCACUUAACAAGCUUAGAUUUUUAGGUAUUUCUUGUCAAAAUUUCGUGAACUUUAUUUGAUUAGAGGGAGUAUGCUGAGCGAAGGACUACCAAGAAUGACUCAUAGUGGUCCCAACAAUGCUUCUCAGGGUGCCUUGAGUGUGCAUGACGGGUUCUCUUUUGGGCUAUUACUUAACCUGCUCGUGUUCUUGUGCAGGGUGCCUUGAGUUUAUAUUUAUUUUUCUGUUUGUCGUUCUCUGUUGUUUUGCUGGCCUUUGGUGUCAUUGGCUGAUGCUUUAAUGAAGCAAGCUUGAAUGACCAAAAAAAUAAAAAAAAAUAUAGCUAGAAAUAUGAAGAAGAAACAAUUUUUGUUUGGGGAAUGAUUAGAGAUUGUUUUAGUUGGUUUUGGAAUCUCUGAAUUUUGGAUUGUUUGAUUUUGGAGAUUUUUAUAUUUUUUAUAUUUUUUUACAAGUAUAUGGUGCAUAUGCUUAUAUAUGCCCAUAUCUAUCACAUAUAAUUUGGUUGUGUUUAUAUAAUCUUCAAAGAGGUUUUACCUGAAAUUGGAAAUGGUUUCUGCACAAGGUAUUGAGCAAUUUUCUUUUAUCAUUUCCUUUCCGUUAUUAUUUAGUUUCCAUGUUUCUGUGAUUAAUUGAAUAAUACCUCUUUCAUCUAUUUAUCUAUGCAAUGAUUUUAAUGGUUUCAGUUCUUGAUUAAAGAAUGAAAAUGCCAUUAAAAAUGCAAUUUGCAAUGUAUUAAGUUAUUUCCGUAUGCAAUUACUAGCUCCCUGUCUGCUAAUUGCGAGGAAUCACCUUCUAUGAGUUUAGCCACUAAUAACAUCGGGAAGUGCAGAUGAGGGUGUGGGGCGGUCAAUGUGAUAAAUGUCCAAAAAUGUCUCUCAAAUAAUUUUAAAUUUUCAAACUAGAGCCGCUAAUUACGUGCAAAAUGGCCAUGGCAUGCGGGUAACCGAUUCUUAUUUUUAUUAUAUAUAUAUUUAUAUAUUUAUAAAUACACAAUGAAAAAAUAAAAAAGAAAUCGCAUUGAAAACAUGAAGAAAAAAAUUCGAUUAAUAAUUGGUCGAUUUUGCAAAGAAGUAUUUAUAUGAUCAUAUGCUUGUGUAUGAUAAUGUUCUUUUGCUUAGCAAUAAUAUGUUAUAUUAUAUGCAAAAAAAAAAUACUAUACUUUAAAUUAAGAAUCAAUUUUAUAAAAAUCUAUAUUCUUAGAUUUUAUAUUAUUAUUUGCAAAUAUAAACUAUACUUUAAACUAAGAACAAGUUUAUAAAAAUCUAUAUUCUUAGAUUUUAAAAUAUUUGGUGAAAUAACAUUUGUAUAUAUUUUUUUAUGUAUGUUAUGCACACAAAAUUGUCAAUGAACAAGAUAUAUAUUUUAUAAAUGGUAAUCAAGAUGUUAUCCUUAUUACUUAAAAUUGAAAUUUAAAAUAACCACAAAUAAAUAAAUAUUUGACAUGUUAAACAUAUAAUGUUUUACUAACUACUUUUUGAAACUUUAGAUCAUUCUAUUAUUUUUCCUAAUUUUGUUCAUACCUAAUAUUUUUGUAUUUUACUAAAAUAUUUGAUUUUUUAUUUAUAGGAAUCAUUUACAUCCUAGUUACUGGUGGAAAAAAAACAUGGAACAAAUUUUUUAAUCCUUAUUAUUAUUAUUAUUUUAAUCUAAAUAUAUUUAAAAUUUAUGUUUAUUGUAAUUUUCUUUUAAUUUAUAUUGGUUUUUUCAGUUAAUUACAUUCUUACUUUAAGUUUUCAUAUACAUAAACAUCAACCCAAAAGAGAAAUUAAUAAAUAAUAAAAAACUAGCCUACUAUUCGUAUACAUUAAAUCAACUCAAAGGAGAAAUAAAUAAUAUAUAUAUAUAUAUAUAUAUAUACUAGCCUCUUUGCACGCGCUUCCGCGCAUGCGAGAGGUUUUUUUUAAAAAAAUUUAAAUUUAUUUUAGAAUUAAAAAAGAUAAUGGAUAUUUGUGUUCCAUAAAAAUAGGACCCAUUAUCUGAAUUUUCUUUUAAUUUUAAUUUUUUUAAUACGAAAAAUUGUGAAUUUACUAUAUUAUCCUCAUUUAAUUAAUAAUUUCAAUUCUUAAUAUUUGCAUUAACCAAAGGCAUUUUCUGGUAUUUUGAAUGUUUCAUCAUUCUCUGUCUUUUGCUUUAUAUAGAUAGAUAAACAUGCCUUUUGUCCUUUUUUUUAAGCCCACGUUGGUUGUCAGCUUUUUUGGUUUGUUUUUUCUCUUUCUUCCUUCACCGGUUUUAUAGGUUGGUGGGAUUCAAUUUCAGUGUUUGUUAAGAGCCAUAGAUUCAAAGUGAUCUAAUGGCUGAAAUUUGGGCGCAUCCAUGCUCCUAGUGCAUGGUAGAAUUUUCGAUGUGAAUAAUUCCCACAAUCUUUUGUUUAUUUUGAAAGGACAACUGACAGAUAAUGUUUAGAGAUAUAAUCUACUGUGCAUAGAGAUCUGGACGGGAUAGCAACAUUAAUGUAAAGAUAUAAUCAAUUUCAUAAACCUUAUUAUAUUAUAUAAAUAAGAGUCCCGAUCUCUUGGACCACAAGAGUCCAAGAGAUUGUGGUCACCCACCGUUGGAUAUUAAUUCAAUGGUUCAAAAGAAUUUCUUCAAAUGAAUGCAAGAGUGAGUGAACUGUUGAAUUUACAUACAACGGUGAGUGACCACAAAUCUUUUGGACUCCUAUAGUCCAAGAGAUCAGGACUGAUAUAAAUAAUUAUGUUUGAUUUGCAAAGCAUAUCUAUGCAUGUGUUUUUGCUCGUAGAAUGUCAACCACAUCACUGAGAUGGAUAAAAUGGUCAAGACAAUGAGUUCGCUUGGUACAGUUAAGUUUGAACCUCUUUCACGUAAAUUAGAUCAAUUUAAAGUAGAAUAUUGUUCGUAUAAAAAAAGAAAAACUAAUGAUUCUCUUGAUUUGUUUUUCAAUGCAUGACUCAUGUGUGCUAUUGUAUGUUUUUCGCACCAUCCGGAAGAAACAGGACGGAUAUAUAUUCCUAGAUUGAGGAGGGAUUUAAAUAUAUAAAAAAUUAAAAACUGAAAUGCCUAAUCAUCGAAAAACCCCAACCAAAAAAAAAAUAAAAAAUCCGACUUUCCCUUCCUCAACAAGCACGCAUAGUGGCCAAUCCUGGGCCCAUUAUUCAAAGGGGCCCCAAAUUUUUUAUUAUUAUAGUAAGUGUUAUAUUAUAUUAUUAUAAAUUGAUUUAAUAUUUUUUCAUAAUUUUUAGGAAUAGGAUAUUGAGAUGAAUCUGAAAUUUUGGAACAAAGAAUCUAGUGGCGGAUCCAGGAUUGGAAAGCCAAUUGGGCGGAAUUUACACAUUAAACUCGACGGUAUGAGUGAAUUUCAUUAAUAAUCAGAAAAAGAUACACCUAGUCAAGGGGGACGUAAUAAGCCUUACCCUCAAAUACAUCUAUACAUAAAUACAAGCUUAACAACAAAAACAAAAACCACAAGUAAAUGUAAUACAAAACAUCACUAGUUAAAUCUAAAAUUUUACCUUGCGAGACUUAAAAGUCUUAAAUUCCUCAAUUAUUAAUGCAUUAGUGAUACUAUUAGCAAACUCUCUUUCAAUGUGGAGGUCAUGCAAUCAGCAAGAAACUCUUCAGCUAUGGUGCUUCGAAACCGAUUCUUAAUAAUUCUCACACAUGAAAAAACUCGUUCCGUUGUUGCUGUAGAAACGGGAAGAGUCAACACUAACCGAAUCAACCUGUUGAUCAAACAAUAGUUCUCUACCAAACUUGUUUCCACUAAUUGUUGACAUAAAUGAGGAAGAGUGUUGGUUUCCUUAAAGCAAUGAAGGCGAUGUACAUCAUUUUGAAAAUACCUCAAUUCUAUUUCCAAAUCUUUCAACUCAUUUGGAAGGAAAUUAGCAUGAUAGAAUUUCUCAGCAAGUUUACAUAUAUGAUCAAUAUUGAAUGACUUGAAUGAAUUACGAGGAUCCAAUGCUGAGCUAAGAAUAAGAACUUCAAUUGUUUGCUCUGGAAAUCUGUCAUUUAACUCCCUUAACAUGCAAUCUAUAACAUCAUUGAAUACAUCAACGCGAUAGUAAUGCUCAAAUGUAAUAAAAUCUUUUUGUUGACAAGAACAAUGUGUGCCCGUCAUAUAACGAGCACCCAUAUCAAGAACAUCAACACCAUGUAGUUCACAAAAUGAUACCACACUAUAGAAUAAAUCAUCUCAGCCAUGUACCCUCAUAUCUUGAAGCUGCAUUUUUGUGUUUUCAACAAAAUUUAAAGCACUUACAAUGCCUUGAGUUUUGGUCUGAAAUACUUGACAAAGAAAAUUGGUCAAUCCCAAAUUUUAUCCAUCAAAACUAAUGAAAACACAAACUCAAAAGACAUCAUAGCAAUAUAGUUACUCUCAACAUUGCCACGAAAUUGUUGGUUAGGUCCAUGAUCACUGAUCUCUUGAAUAAGUAAUUUAGUCUCUUUAAAUAAACACAUCAAACUUGUAAUAGAGGCAUAAUGAGAGCCCCAACGAGUGGCUCCAACUCGUUUCAAACUACGAGCUUGAUUAAGUCCUCUACCUGUCUCAAGUUCUCCAGAAUCCAACAACCCAUUGAGUUCAACUUUUCUAAUUAAGUUUAACUCACUACGACGCUUAGCAGAAGUACUAAUAAAAUUCACAAUGUUAGUCAACAUUAAAAAAAACCUCCAUAAAACUUUCACAUCUUUAGCUACACCAUUUAAUGCCAAUUGCAAGCGAUGAGCAAAGCAAUGCACAUAAUAUGCAUAUGGACAAUCUUGAAGAAAUAAUGCUUGUAAGCCAUUCCAUGAACCACGCAUAUUACUAGCACCAUCAUACCCUUGACCACGCAUGUUUUCCACUAGAAUGUCGUUAUUACCAAGCACUUUGCAUAUCACUUUUUUAAGAGUCAAGGCAUUAGUGUCUACAACACUCACAAUAUCGAAGAAGCGCUCACGAAUAAAUUCAUCACAAUCAACAAAUCUUAGAAUAAUAGUCAUUUGUUCCUUACCGGAUUCAUCAAGUGAUUCAUCAACUAGAAUACAAAAUUUGUUCUUCCCAAGUUCCUUACAAAUUGCCUUCCUCACCUUAUUAGCAAAAAUAUGUAAGAUUUGCUUUUGUAUGUCAUGCACAAUGUAUUGAGCAUUUUGAGGAGCCUUAUCAAGGACAACUUUCUCAACUUCUAUAUUCAUUCUUGCAAAAGACUUUAUGAUUUCAAUGAAAUUACCCCGAUUAGAUGAGUCAAUAGAUUCAUCAUGGCCUCGAAAAGCCAAUGCUUGAUUUGCCAGAUACCUAAUGCCCUCUAUUGUGGUCGUAAGUCGCAAUCGAUUUUCCAUCAUUUGUUGCUUUGAUUGCUUUUCUACCACUUUUUCAAUAUGAAGAUGUGGAGUUUUUAAGCUAAUCCACUUUUGCAUAGCAAGAUGAUGUGGUGAAUUUAACUUGCCUACAUGAUGUUGAAAUGCACAUUGAUUCCCACCAAUUCUCUUCCAUUUUUGACACCCAUCAACAAUAAAGGUUAGGUGUGACUGAUUCAUGUCAAAAAUGAAACAAGGAAAACAAAAUACCUUAUUCUUAGCAACUGAAUACUCAAGCCAAGUGAAUUGACCAAACCACUUUUUAUUAAAGCGACAAAAGUUCCGCCCUUCUAAGUGGCUUGGAUAAUCUUCUAACUCGGGUUGACAUGGUCCUAAAAAAAUAUAUGCUAUUCGCACAUUAUCUUGUUCAUUCACCGGAUAUUUGCAUAUUAGACGAUGUAAUCCAGGAUCACGCACAAGAUAAUUGAUAUUAAAAUCAUGAUAAUAAUCUACUCUUUCAAAUUCAAUUCUUUCAACUUGAGGCUUGAUAAUGGGACACUCGGGAAGAUUUUGCCCAUCACAUAUUGGAAUAGAUAAAGAAGAGCUAGAAGACAAUGUACUAGAUGAUGACCCAUCAUUCUUUUUCUUAAAAAAAGAGAACAAGUUUUUUGUUCUCUUGGGAUCCGAUUGUGAUCCGACAUAAUAAAAGAUAAUCUAUGAAUAACAUGUAAAAUAAAUAAUUUAAAUCAAACAUACCAACAAAAAAUCAAACAAAUUUUAAUAAUAAUAGCAUCUCAACAAUAUCAACAAAGAACAAAUCAAACAUUGAAACAUCUCAACAAAAUUCCUAAAAUCAAAGCCCUAAUUAAUUUCAACAAAAUCACAAAAUUAUAAUUCAAUCUCUACAUAAACCCUAGAAUAUUGAAUUUUAAAUUAAAACUAUAAUUAAAGAUAUAUAGAAAAUGAGAGAAUUAGAAAUUACUUCUUGUUGUAGAAAGAAGAGGACAAGAUUUUGCCAAGUUGCCCACUGCCCAACCAAUAUAAUAGUAAGAUGCAGAAAAUAAAAAGGGCAAAAGGAAGCUGUUGUUGUCGUCGGGUCUGUAGAAUAGAAGAGAGAAAAGCUGUGCCAAAAGAAAAGAGACAAAAGUUGGGACCACUUUGAAGUUGGAUGGGCGUGUGUGUACAUUGGGUUAGCUUUUUAAGUUUUUAAACUUGAGCUGCCCAUAUAACAUAUAUAGGUUUUUAAAUAAUAAAAAAAACUUUGGAUGGGCGGGCACCCACCCUGCCCUUUACAUAGAUCCGCCACUGAAAGGAUCCAUGACGAGAGUUUUAAAAGAAAUUCUUUGAUAUUGGCUUGACUUGCAUUCUUGAAAUUCUUUGACUCACUAGUAUAGUAUCCAUAGUUGGACAUUUGUUUUCAUUAUUUAGGAAUAUGGAAGACAUUGCUCAAAGUCUAAAAAUAUUUUCGAAUAAAUACUUUCUCAAAAAACCCAAUGCUGUAAUAAAACUAGAAUAAUUAGAGGAUGAGAAGUACCACUGUAAUAUUGGGAGUGGAAUUAUAUUUCUCUUUGUGGUGUUUACACUGACAGAAUUUCUCCUCAGAUAGACUCCACUCUUUCUCUUCUCUCUGACUCUCACUCUUUCUCUUCUUCUCUUUCAUAUGUUUACAAGCAAAUAUAAUGUCUAUUUAUAGGCAAAGCAAAUGGCCUUUAAGGGAGACAUAAUGAUUUCUCCCCAACAUCAUUAUCCUAUAUUUUGACUAAUACCCUCUAGCUAUAUCUCCAUCUUUUGACUAAUGCCCUAUAGCUUUAUCUAUGUGGGCUUCAUUUCUUUAUAACACUCCCCCUUGAAGACCACAUGUCCCUAGAUUGGUUGCCUCAUUAAAACCUUGCUUGGAAAAACCCAGUGGGAAAAAACCUAAGCGAAGGAAAAAGAGUACAACUUUAUUUGGGACAUAAGGGUAAUGCGCUCAUGUUGCCUCGUUAAAACCUUGCUAGGAAAAAAUUCGGUGGGAAAAAACUCUAAUCGAAGGAAAAAGAGUACAACGCGCAUAUGUCCUAUGUUAGAGGACUCUUGAAUGCUCCUCCUGAUUUUGCAUGCUCCAACUUGAUUUCUUGCGGAGUUGUCGUAAUCCGAUGUCAUGCACUAACUUUUGGAAUGUACAUUUCGGCAAUGAUUUAGUGAAGAGAUCUGUCAGGUUAUCGCUUGAGCGGAUUUGUCUGACUUUGAUUUCUUGACUCUUCUGGAGCUCGUGUAUAUAGAAAAACUUUGGUGAUAUGUGCUUAGUCCUGUCACCCUUGAUAUACCCUCCUGUGAUCUGAGCAAUACAAGCUGCAUUGUCCUCAUUCAGGAUUGCUGGAGUGUCUGUUGCUGAGGGUAGGGCACAUGUGCUUCGGAUGUGAUGGAUCACCGACCUUAAUCAAACGCAUUCACGAUUGGCUUCGUGGAGGGCAAGUAUUUCUGAGUGAUUGGAAGAUGUGGCCACUAGUGUUUGUUUCGUUGAGCGCCAUGAGAUUACAGUUCCUCCACAUGUAAAUACAUACCCAGUCUAUGAUCGUCCUUGAUGUGGAUCAGAGAGAUAUCCUGCAUCAGCAUAACCAACAAUACUCUGGGCGUUGGUCGAUUCACUGGAAUAGAAUAAGCCCAUGUUUGAUGCCGGUCCAAUGUCGCCUUGUUGGAGCAGAACUGUACCUUACUAACAGAUUUACUGAAAAUGAUGUCUAGUCUGGUACAUUGUGCCAGGUACAAUAAAGCACAUAUUGCACUAAGAUAUGGUACUUCUGGACCAAGGACCAUUUCAUCAUCCCCUUUUGGACGAUAUGGGUCUUUCUUAGUGUCAAGCGACCGAACGACCAUUGGAGUGCUAAGUGGAUGGGCUUUAUCCAUGCCAAAUCGUUUCAAUACUUUUUCAGUAUAAGUUGAUUGAUGCACCAAAAUUCCAUUAGCACUAUGCUCAAUCUGCAAGCCAAGACAAUAUUUCCAAGGUCUUUCAUCUCAAACUCACGUUUGAGAUAAUCAGCAGUCUUUUGAAGCUCUUCAGAAGUUCCAAUCAAAUUCAUGUCGUUGACAUAUACUGCCACUAUCGCAAAUCCAGACUCUGACUUCUUAAUAAACACACAUGGGCAAAUAGGAUGAUUUGUGUAUCCUUCCUUCAGUAAAUACUUACUGAGACGAUUGUACCACAUUCGUCCAGAUUGUUUUAGCCCAUAUAAUGAUCUUCUCAAUUUAACUGAGAACAUGCCCCGUGGUUUAUUUCUGGCUGCUUCAGGCAGCUUAAAUCCUUCUGGAACUUUCAUGUAUAUAUCUGUAUCCAAUUCUCCAUACAGAUAUGCAGUAAUGAUAUCCAUGAGUCUCAUUUCAAGUUUUUCUAAAACCGCCACACUUAUUAAGUAACGGAAUGUAAAUGUAUCCAUUACUGGAGAGUCGCGCUUUAUACAUUGAGAUCUCAUUUUUCUCAUUGCGCUUUCUUGUAAAUACCCACUUGUAACCUACAGGGUUCACAUUGGGUGGAGUUGGAACAAUAUGUCCAAAAACACUCCUUUUUUCCAAAGAAUUUAAUUCUGUCUGGAUUGCAUCUUUCCAGUUAGGCCAGUCUUGCCUCUAUGUACAUUCAUUAAUAGAGCACGGCUCAAUAUCAUCAUCUUUUAUGAUCUCAGCAACCACUGAGAAUGCAAAUAUAUCAUCGAUGAUCAUCUCAUUUCUACUCCACAAUUCAUCAGUGGACGCAUAAUUUAUGGAGAUUUCUUGACUUUCAGGUACAGUUGCCGCUCCAGGGGCACUUGUCUCACCAAUGACGUUUUCCUUUUCAGGAAGUACCUGUCCCUCUUUGGUGGUAUUUGAAUUAUGAAUUGUGGGCUCUUUAUUUAUUUCAUUUAGAUUCAUUUUGUCCAUCAACUUCCUCUUUCGAGGUACUGAAUCCUUUGAGCCUAGUGGUCUGCCACGCUUCAGGCGUGCAACAGAUGAACCAUUUGCUGACACAUUGCCUUGUCCAUUAUGGACAUCAAUCCGUGCGGGUGCAUUUGCAGCUGGGAUAUGAGAUUUCGUCACCUUUGCUACAUCAUUAAAUGCAUCUGGCAUCUGAUUUGCAAUACUUUGGAGGUGAACGAUCCUUCUCACUUCGUUUUCGCAUUGACCAGUAUGAGGAUCGAGAUGAGACAAUGUGGAUACAUUCCAUGAUAAUUCAUGUCGUUUUUCAGGAAUGAGUUUGCCUUGUUCUUUAGACGCAGACUUUUCUCCACCUAAUGAUGGGAAGAUUGUCUCAUCAAAAUGACAAUCUGCAAACCGUGCGGUAAAAAUAUCACCCGUCAGGGGUUCCAGAUAUCUGAUGAUAGAUGGUAAAUCAAAACCAACAUAAAUUCCCAAUCUGCGUUGAGGGCCCAUCUUAGUACGUUGCGGUGGUGCAAUGGGCACAUAUACCGCACACCCAACAAUUCUUAAAUGUGAAAUGUUUGGUUGAUUCCCCAAUACGAGUUGAAUUGGAGAAUAUCGAUUGUUGGCGACGGGCCUCAAUCGCACAAGUGAUGCUGCAUAUAAAAUGGCAUAUCCCCAAGCAGAAACUGGCAACUUUGUUUUCAUUAGCAAAGUGCGUGCUAUCAACUGAAGGCGCUUAAUUAAAGCUUCUGCCAAGCCAUUUUGAGUAUGCACAUGGGGAACAGGAUGUUCAAUGUCAAUGCCUAGUGACAUGCAAUAGUCAUCAAAAGUUUGAGAUGUAAAUUCACCAGCAUUAUCGAGUCUGAUUGACUUAAUGGGAUAAUUUGGGAAUUGGGUUCGUAAUUUAAUUAUCUGAGCCAAAAGUCUAGCAAAUGCCAUAUUCCGAGUAGACAAAAGACAAACAUGUGACCAUCGGGUAGAUGCAUCCACCAAGACCAUAAAGUACCGAAAUGGUCCACAUGGGGGAUGAAUAGGUCCACAAAUGUCCCCUUGAAUUCUCUGCAAAAAUGAUGGAGACUCAACAUCAACCUUUGGUUGUGAUGUUCUGAUCACCAACUUCCCUUGUGAACAAGCUUGGCAAAAGAUGUCACUUGAUAACAUAACGUGUUUAGUCAACAAGGGAUGUCCUCUAGAGUUGGUGAUGAUUCUGCGCAUCAUGGUGGAUCCAGGAUGACCCAACCUGUCAUGCCAAAGCUUAAAAGCAUUUGAGUCAAUAGACUCUUGGUCCAUGACACUAUGUGCCUCAAUUGUCCGUAUGGUUGUAUAAUACAACCCUGAUGAGAGCGCACAAAGCCUCUCCAGUAUACGCUUUUGGGUAUCACUGGAGGUAAUGCAAAGAUAUUCCAUGUUUUUCUCUUUCUUUGUUUCAACAUGGUAGCCAUUCAAACGUAAAUCUUUGAAACUCAACAGAUUCCUUCUGAAGUUAGAUGAAUACAAAGCAUCUGGAAUGGACAGUAUUGUUCCAUUUGGUAACAUAAUUUGGGCUAUUCCUGAGCCUUCAAUUAGAUCUGCAUGACCUGAUAUAGUUGUUACCUUUGCUUUUGUAAGUAUUAAUUUUGAGAAAUACUUAUGAUCUUGAAGGAUCGUAUGAGUAGUCGCGCUGUCUACGAGACAAAUAUCUUUGCCAUAGCCUUUGUUUUGAGGGCAUCCAUAAUUUACAUCCAUGCCUUCAAAUAAGCUGAAUCAAUAAAGAAGAAAACAUUACCACUUUUAUUGGAUUGAAAUGAAAAAUUAAACAACACUUCAGCUAAUACAAAUAGUACAUUAAGGAAUUUAAUCUAAUUCGGACUCAGAAGCUUCAUUCCCUUUUUCAGUAACAAAGUCAGAAACAUCCAGAUGCGUCUUGUUUAGCUGACGCGAUAUUUCUGAUGAGCCAUCUGUGGCUGGUGGAGCAUGAUCAAUGUAAUUUAUCUCCACUUUCAUGUUCUUAAGUGAAGCUUGAUAGAGAUCCGCCAAAUGCUUAGGCGUACGACAUGCGCGCACCCAAUGUCCCUUUGCACCACAUCUGUGACAAGUGCUUUCAACAUUUCUAGGCACAUGGCUCAUCUGUGCCUUUCCCUUAUUACGGGAUGUAUUUUUGCCAUUCGUGGAUGGACCGCUCCUUGGACCUAAACCCUCUGAACGAGCACCACAAUCUUUUCUGCUUUCUUGCCAGCGGCCACGCUUGCCCCCUCUCCCACGUUUGUGGAUACUACCACGAGAUGAAGUGGCAUUCACUUCCUGAGAUGCAGCAUUUAUUUCGGGAAGUGGUGCUGAGCCUGUUGGGCAAGAUUGGUGAUUCUUUAAUAAGAGCUCAUUAUUCUGCUCAGCUAACAAGAGGCAAGAUACAAGUUCCGAGUACUUCUUGAAACCAUUAUGUCUGUAUUGCUGCUGAAGGAGGACAUUUGAAGCAUGAAAAGUGCUCAGAGUUUUUUCGAGCAUAUCCUCCUCAGAUAUAUUUUCCCCACAUAGCCUCAUUAAUGAGGUAAUUCUGUGCAUAGCAGAGUUAUACUCGGACACUGACUUGAAAUCUUGAAAUCUCAAGUGAGUCCAUUCAUAUCUAGCUCUUGGGAGAGUCACCAUCCUCUGGUGAUCGUAUCUUUCACCUAGAGCUUUCCAUAAAACCAACGGUUCAUCAACCACCACAUAUUUGCUCUUCAGCGCUUCAUGGAUGUGGCGGUGAAGAAAGAUCAUGGCCUUCGCAUUCUCUUCAGGCGAAGCAUCAUUCUCAUCCACAAUUGUUUGUCCGAGGCCAUUGGCUCGUAGAUGAAUUUUGGCAUCCAGGACCCAUGAUAAAUAGUUGUCCCCGGAAAGGUCCAAGGCAGCAAACUCUAGUUUUGCGAAAUUUGCCAUUCGAAACUUUAGGCUCGAGAUCUGGGACAUUAAGCCACUUAUUAAUAGGAAUUUCAGGCCCUCAUUAUUCAGGUAUAUUAAUUGAUGAUAAAAAUAAAGUGUUAUGAAUUUGAUGGUAUGGACGAUAAACCCGCACCAUACCUUAAAUAAAAUUAAAUGUACGGUAAAGUAAAUUGCUUGCUGUAUGGACGUUAAUUCCGCACCAUACUUUAAAUAAAAGUAAAUAUGCGGUAAAGUAAAUUCAUAAAGUAUGAGGGUUAAUUCCACAUCAUACUUUUAAUAAAAGUAAAUGUGCAGUAAAGUAAAUUCAUAAAGUAUGAGGAUUAAUUCCACAUCAUACUUUAAGUAAGAGUAAAUGUGCUUGUAUGGGCACUAAUUCUGCUCCAUACUUUUAAAUAAAAGUAAAGGCAUGGACGAUAAACCCGCGCCACCCUUUUAAAUAGAUACUGUUGUAUGGGCAAUAAUUCUGCUCCAUACAUAAAAAUAAAGGCGUGGACGAUAAACCCGUGCCACCCUUUUAAAUAAAUAUUGCCGUAUGGGUAAUAAACCUACUCCAUACCAUAAAUAAAAUAAAUAUGGGGAUAAAAACUUCCACCUAAUGUAUAUGAAGUGCAUAAUAUAUCAUAUAUUGUGGGCAAUAUAACUGCGCCACUAUUCAAGAUAUAAUAUAUGGGUUUUAAGAUCACACCAUCAUUUUAUUACAAUAAUUUGUGUUACAACGCGAUGGGUAAAAAAAAAUUACACCACCAUAAAAUAACAGGACGGGGUAUAAAAACCACGUCAUUCCAAAUUACGUUACAAAGAAGUAAAUUGAACAAGCAUGGAUGAAACAACAUAGAAAUUGUGAGAACACAAAAAAGAAAGUUUGCAUGUCGUCGUAGUAGUAAAGUGAGAGUAGACAUAUGACAGAGAGGAGACAGAGAAAUAACCACAUAGUGUUGAGUUGGGAAAAAUUCAGAAAUAAAAAGGAGAGACUUUCGUGCUGAUAACGUGUAAUAAAACUAGAAUAAUCAGAGGAUGAGAAGUACCACUGUAAUAUUGGGAGUGGAAUUAUAUUUCUCUUUGUGGUGUUUACACUGACAGAAUUUCUCCUCAGAUAGACUCCACUUUUUCUCUUCUCUUUGACUCUCACUCUUUCUCUUCUUCUGACUCUCACUCUUUCUCUUCUUCUCUUUCAUAUGUUUACAAGCAAAUAUAAUGUCUAUUUAUAGGCAAAGCAAAUGGCCUUUAAGGGAGACAUAAUGAUUUCUCCCCAACAUCAUUAUCCCAUCUUUUGACUAAUACCCUCUAACUAUAUCUCCAUCUUUUGACUAAUGCCCUAUAGCUUUAUCUAUGUGGGCUUCAUUUCUUUAUAACAAAUGCUUAGUUGAUAAAACAAGAAGUAUACUAGUAUUAGUGAUUAAUGUGUGUAGAGCACACUUUAGAUUUUUGCCAUGGGCCUUUGAAAACUUAGGACCGGCCCUGAUAGUGGCUUCCAUUGCUUCCACAUAAAAUCUAAUUCAAACCUAUCACAGUCUUCUACCUAUUCAGUCCCACUCAAAUCAAAUCCAUGAUCGCCUUUGUGUCUCUCUACCAUCAUCUCUUGCUGCUACUACGAUUUCAAGUUCUGGGCUUCAACCAACCCCUCUUCCAUUUCGGCAAAACCCACUCCCAAAUACUCUGCAACCAUUGUCUUGUUGUGCUGCUCUUCAAAUUUAUUGUACUGGAAUUUGGCACAAUGCAGUGGUAAGCUUACAUUUUUUUUCGUUAUUUAUUUAGGGUUAAUCAUUUUAUUAGUCCCCUAAUUUUGACUGGAUUUACAUUUGAAUACCUCAAUUUUCAAAAUGGUACUCGUGGUCCUUUAACUUGAGUUUCGUUUGGAUAACUAGUCCCACCGUUACUUCUGUCAAUUUUUUCGUUAAAGUUAAGGGUAGAUGGGUCUUUUUAAGUUGGUUUUAUUAUCCCCAUUCUACAACUUGUCUUCCCUCUAAAAUAGACCUUGGAGAGCCUGCUGCCAAAAAUCUAAAGAACCAAAAAUUGCAAUCCGCUUCUGCAACUCGCAUAUUGGUUGAGUAAAAGUUGGAAUCGUCAAGAUUGGAAGCUUGGAGAGCAGAUUACUUGCCUGCUUCAACGCCUUUCCUGGCCUAGCCGCCGACCCGUCCUCCACCAUGGCUGUAGGCUGUAGGCUCUAGUGGUGGUUCCAGUGUUCCUUUCAAUUGAUAACUUUUUGUAUUGUUUUAGGUUAGUAGGAGAAGCCAACACACAUGCGACGACAAUUUCUUAUAAUGAAUUAUGGAUUUAGAGGCACUCUUAUUCCAAACCAGUAAUGGUAAUAUGUGGAAAGGUAAUAUGGGGUAUGUGUUUGCUUCUUCAAUGGGCUAAUCGGGUGACUAAAACCGUUGAACAGAUGCUUUAAAACAUUUCCCCAUAAUGGCAAUUCCCCGUAAGAAACACCCACACACAUACUCCUCUCUCUGUCUUUCUAUUUUGCUGCAUUUGGUUUGAAAUGCUGAGGCUUGAACUGGUUUUGUUAAGUUGUUGCAGUGUUGGAUCUGGUUCUUUUAACCAGGCCUCAAAUGGGUUUAUGAGUUUUCUUAAAUUUGGUCUCUGAGUUUGAAGGUUUCCUGCUAAAUUUUCAAUUUUUAGUGUUGGCUUUGUUUUUAUGUGCUUAUACCUGAAAUGGGUUUUUGAGCAUUUCAAUGCUGAGAUCUAAUUUCUGCAGAUUUACUGGUCACAGUGAGGUUCAAGAUUCUGUGAGUUGGAUUUGGUAACCUACUUUUGUACUUCAUAACAGUUCAGUUGAGACUGAGAGGUUAAAGCAAAAAUGGCUCCAAGCUUGGAUUUUUCCAGGUGGUGGGCAAAGGGCAAUACAAGGGUAAUCCAGUGGUGGUGACAAUGAAGAACUCCAAUUACUCUGUGCUGGAGAUAAAAGUUUUUUUUGGUCCUUCAAAACCAACCUGAAAAGACCCAUCUAUCCCUAAAUUUAACGAAAAAAUUGACAGAAGUAACGGUGGAACUAGUUGUCCAAGUGAAACUAAAGUUAAAGGACCGCGGGUACCAUUUUGAAAAUUGAGGUACUCAAAUGCAAAUCCGGUCAAAGUUGAAGAACUAAUAAAACGAUUAACCCAUUUAUUUAUUGAUAGAGAGUCAAUUUAUUUGCAAAAGCUAAUGCUAAUUAGCCUUCAAAUUUCAUUCACCUCCAGAGCUGUGCAAUUUGUGGGAUGGCAUUACUUAUCCUGCCCUUCAUCUUGUUUCCAUUCUACAUACUCAUGUAGAGAGAGAGAGAGAGAGAGAGAGAGAGGUGUGCAAAUAGGCAUGGGGACUGUUAAUGGGGCGGGCCUGAUAGGGGUGAUAAGGAAUUUUUUUUUGGGAGGGCCCUAAACCCUAAAUCCUAAACUCUGAACCCUAACGGUGUUUGUGUUUGUUGGUAAAAGUCCAAUUUAACCCCACAAUUAGAGCAUGUGAUCCAAUUUAACGGAAAAUGUAACAGAAGGACCAAUUUGACAUGAAAUAAAAAGUUGAAGAACUAUUGAAAUGAAAAAUUUAGAAUUCAUUUGAUAACCAUUUCAAUUUUAGUUUUUAAUUUUUCACUUUUUGUGCUAGAGCAUAGAGGAAAAUGUGAGUGAUAAUGGGAGUGAGGAUGAGAUUCAGAAGAGGAUGAGAAGGGAGGAUGGGAAGGAGAAGUAACAAAAGUGAAAACAAUUUCAAAUAGAUUUCACUUUUGUUACUCCUCCCUUACGUCCUCCACUCUCAUUCUCACUUUCAUUCUCUCUCUUUUUCCUCUAUAUUCUAGCACAAAAAGUCAAAACUAAAAACUAAAAUUGAAAUGGUUAUCAAACGGGUUGGUGGACCAAAAUGACAUUUGAGUAAUAGUUGGAGAACCUUUUCAAUCAAAAAACCUUUAUAAAAAAAAUAUGUUCGUGUUCAUUCCAAGUUGUGACCAUAAAGAAAAAAGGAAACGCAUUUAUACCUUCGUAUACCAAGUUUUUAAAGUGAGAGAUUCUCUAACCCAAAAAGGAUUACCAGCUGUGUAAAGACACUUGAAAGUUGAAAAGACAUUUUACACUAAUUUUCCUCACUUGCAAUGCAAGGACAAAAAUUUUAGGCCUAUUUCCUUCCAAGGUUAAUCUGGUUUUCCCCAGGUAACAAACAAGAAAAGAAGAUUCAUUGCUCUCUCAUUCAUGUCGGCUUUCGCAAACCCAGUUUCAGACGAAAUCUCAAAAGAUUAACUUUGUUCAACACUGAACAAUUACAGCCAAACCAGAAGGAGCCUGAAGCUAUUCAACAACUCAAUUAUGGUUUUAUUUCUAACUGCUACCAAUAAAAACUCACUUCAACCAUCUAAGAUGUCAUGCCAGGCCCUACAAUAACACUAAUCUAUUGUUUGGAAGCAAUUCGAAGAUACAACCUGUGCCACUUGCAAAAAAUAUACAGAUGAAUACAAAUCCGCACGUCCAUAACUGGCAAUCAGAAACGAAUGACAACAAGAGGAGUUAGGUAACACUGCACAUCAGUGGGGAAACGAGUAGAAAAAUGUCACUUUCAAGCAAUCUACACACGAAAUGGAAAUAAAUCUCACCUGCGUCACUAGAAGAUAAACCCUUGUCAAAGGCAAGGAAUAUUCGACUUGCAAGACCAGCAGAGAUAUGACUGAUCAUAGUUCACAAAGGACGGCUUCCAUGAACCCAAUUCCAGGCCAUAUGGAAGUUUCUUGAGAGCGUUUGAAAGCCAUUUGGAAAUAAAAUUCACUAAAACUUACAACUAUACCUUUUGUUGGCUUCCAUAUGCUUAUCUGGAAAAAGAUAAUGACACUUAAUUAUCUCAAUGCUAAUAUUUUUUACAAUGGAACUUAUACAUUGAAAUUCUUUCAAAGAAAUGAUAUCCAUGUACAUUUAGCUUUUCCACUGCCCUCCAAAGCUCUGCAGGAAAUCAUAGUAAUCACAGUACGAUUGCAUUUGGUACAACAAAUUAUCUAAACAUCAACGCGCAAGGGCUACGCGAAUGAGGGAUCUCAAGAUUUCAAUGACCAAAUAACACAUAACAUGCCCAAUAAAUCAAGAAUUAUAAAAAAGGAAAAUUAUUGAUAAAGGGGGCAGAAAAAAUAACAAGAUAAGUUGACCAAUUAAUCCAUCAAUGUUUCCUUCCUUUAAAUUGAGUCCCUGACCAAAUUCUGGCUGAGCUCUGCUAGACAACAGUAUCCACAGGGUACCUGUCAAUGCAAUCUUCCCAUGGACUAUGAAGAGAAGGUUUUACAUUCUGAAGAGCCUCCCAGACUGCACUGUUACACUUGAAACCACUACCAAAAGCAAUCUGCCAGACACGGUUCCCCUUUUGCAUCCUCCCCUUUGCCUCAGUAUAAGCCAACUCAUACCAAAUUGAACUCGACGAGGUGUUACCAAACCUGUGGAGUGUCAUCCGAGAUGCCUCGACAUGAACUGGUAGAAGCUGCAAGUUCUUCUCAAGCUCAUCAAUCACAGCCCUCCCACCAGCAUGUAUGCAAAAAUGAUCAAAAGCAAGCUUGAAAUCCGGGAUAUAAGGCUUGACUUUCGCAUUGAACAACUUCUUUGCAACCAAAGUAGCAAAGAAUAGAAGCUGCUCACUUAGAGGCAGGACAAGGGGACCCAAUGUUGUGAUGUUAGUCUUAAGAGCUCCACCAGCAAUUGCCAUGAGAUCCUUCGACAAUGAAACCCCAGUUUUCCCAGUAUUAUCCUGCUCUUGAUAAACACAUCUAAAUGCCUUAUCAUCAGCCCCGCGAUGAGUCCUCACAACAUGCACAAGCUUAUACUUUGCCCGACGCCUAUCCAACGACUUGUUCGAAAGCAAAACUGCCGCCCCACCAACACGGAACAAACAGUUUGGUAUCAACAUGGAUUUCUUGUUCCCAAAGUACCAAUUCUGAGUAAUAUUCUCAGUGCUAACAACCACCGCAUAAGCGUUCCCGUGAACUUGCAACAUUUCCUUAGCAAGAUCAACAGCUAUAACUCCAGCACUACACCCCAUACCCCCCAAAUUAAAACUCCUAAUAUUCCCCCUCAAUUUGUACUUGUUAACAAUCAUAGCAGACAGUGAAGGGGUUGGAUUAAACAAACUACAAUUCACAACAAGAAUGCCAAUGUCCUUAGGCUUAACAUUUGUAUUAGCAAACAGAUUAUCCAAAGCACCAAAAAUCACCUGCUCUGCCUCCUCGCGAGCCGCCGCCAUGGACGGCCUAGGCGGAAGGUAAUGCAUUGCUUCAGGGACAUAAGUCUCCUCCCCAAGGCCAGAGCGCUCAAGAAUCUUGCGCUGGAACUCAAGUGAAGACUCGUCAAAGUCCCCAGUGAGCUUCGAAUGCUCCAUGAACUGCUGAAAUCUCACUUGCAAAUGCGAAGGCGGCUUGUAACACGAGUAGUCCACAAGGUAAACGGAUCUCGGGCGGGUCAUAAUGUAAACGGUGGAUCCAAAAACAAUUACAGCAGAGAAAAUAAUGACACUGACCAGAUUGUACUGGAGCUGGAGCCAGAGGUGGUGAAUGUCAUCUGGGUUCAUCUGAGAGGCUUGAAUGACAACGACCGCCAUUAGAGGAACUGAGCAGAGAGUCAAAAGGUGGGUUAUCAAGUAAUGGUAACCCAAUUUCACAUACUUCAAGUUCACGCUUUGUAAGAAGUCUGGUAAUCUACGGCUCUGGUGGAUCUGAACUCCGCCAUUGACAAUGGGCUCAGAGCUCAUGAUGGGUUUGAGAAAUAGGCACUUGGGUUUGAAACUAUGGGGUUUUCUGAAGUGGGAUUUCAGUGGAGGGGCUUCAGAGGGUUAUAUAUAUGGUGAACAGAGGGAAGUGUGAAGGUGAAGAAAACGGAUCUGAGUGAAGAAAUAGUAGGGUUGGUAGUUUGAUACAACAAGAACAGCGACCAAGUGAGAUUUAUAGACAAGAGAGGUGAAUGAAUAGCACAGCAUGAAGAUUGUGACGUUGAUAGAGAGAGAGAGAGAGAGAGAGAGAGAGAGAGAGAGAGAGAGAGAGAGAGAGAGAGAGUGGGUUGGUCUGUUGUUUUGCGUUUGGUUCUGCCACACCUCCCCCCUCUGUCUCUGUUUGGUCGAAGAUUUAGAAUUGAUUGAUAAAAUUUGAGGAAAGAAUUUAGGGGGUGACUGGAAUCUUAAAUAUGGGAGGGUAUUGGACGUGUCCAGUAGAAACGCAAUGAGAGAGAGAGGAGCGGAAGCUUCAAAGCGAUUUCUCUGGACGUCCUGACCUGUUUGACGGCUUAUGAUAAAUGGCCUAAAAGAGCAUUUCUAGUUAUGCUCCUUAUUUUCAAGUAAAAUUUGAACUAAAAAACUACAAAGUUAAAUUAUAGUGUUCCAUUGCUAAAAUUAUGAGCUUUUAGCUCUCACACCAUGCAUGCACUCUCCUGCUAAGUCCCACAUUAUAAUCUUCUAUUGUUGUUCAAGCACCACUUGAGGCAUCUCAAGAGCCACUUAAGCAAUCGUAGAGCCGCAAGAGCUUAGAAACCGAUUUCACUCCGGUGCAGCCGGUGCUCGGAUUAAGGAACGGAACUUACUAAUUUGAAUGGGGAUUAAUAAUGUGGAGAAAACAUAGAAUUUUUUUAUUUUUUAUUUUUUAUACAAGCAAGUAAGAGGAUAACGAUUUAAACAUAGGACCUUAAGUGUUAUGGAUAAUUAUUCUUAACCACUUGAGCUACAAGUUCUUUGCGGGAAAAUAUAGAUGUUAUGAGUAUAAUGAGUUGUUACAUUUCUCUACUUCAUAUGUCACUUUGGUGCACAUAUAUGAAUAUGCUUAAGGAUGAUAAUAACGGUACUCUAAAUAUAUGAUAAUUGAAUGGAUUGAAUGAGCCAAUGAAUAUAAAAGCAACAACAAAUCAAUAAAGACUUUAAAGUUUGAGCCAAAUUUACAACUAGCCCUAGAAAACUUUAUUUAAGGUCGAAUUCUAAUCAUCCACCAUAUCGAAGCACAUGCUUGGGCAAAUGAUUAGAUCGUACUCCACUACCUCAUUAUUAUUAUGGCUGGAUAAUCACAAUAAUUGAGAGUCAACUUCAUCUCGAGUUUUCAUAAAAUUUGAAAAAAUUCAAGAAAUUUAAUGCUUUUUAAAAAAAAUAAUAUGGAUAGAGAAAUAAGACAGGUGAUGAAAAUAAUAACAAUCUUUUUUUUUUUUCUCUUAAGAAUUUCUCAUCAGUCAGCAUUUUUCAGCUCUAGGGACUAAAAUGACAUUGAAAAAAUAGUCAUGUGGGAGACACAUGACCCGUUAAUAAAGUUGAACUUCUCACAGAAGUCAAUGUUCCAAAGUGGCAAAGAAAUGAAGUUCACGCAAAUAACAUAAUAAUAAUUCAUUAAUCGAUGAGUGUGUUGACCACUCUUUGCACGUUCAAAUAAAAACGCAGAAAUCAUGUGGCUCAUUAUGUUUUCAAUCAUUUAGAUUUUGGUCGGUGAUAUCUUUUGGUUGGAUAAUCUUGUGGAAGAUAUUUGGUGCGUUAUAUAUUUUGCACAAUGGGCCUACUGAUGUUGACCCAAAAAACAUGGGCCUACUGCUGGUGCGUGUGUAUUUUACAUAAUUGGCCUACUGCUUAAGAUUUCACAUGACGAAGAAUUCUAUAAUGAGCGCCUUACAUAUGUCUUUUAGUAAAACUUUUUCUCUUAAUCGUUAAAUCAAACUGGUUAAUCUAAUUAAAUGGUUAAGAGAUAGAACAUCACCUAAGAGCCAUAUAUAAAACCCUAACUAUAGAAUGACUCUUCGCAUGACAUGACUUAUUGAUUCUUUAGUUGUUAAGAAUAGUUACCUGCAUUUGAGGUCAAGAGGAACAAUAUUCUAUUUUAAUUUAAUCUAAACUACGGGAGAGAAAUUUAAAAUUGUGUGCAGAGUAGGGAGUACAUCUACUUAAUAUUGCUUGUAUUUAAAAAAGAACUGUGCAUAUACUGCUUUUGGCUUUUACUACCCAAAAAUUUAAAGAAGAAGAGCGUUCUAUUUGCACCAAAAAAUUUGUUCAUUGUUCUCAGCAUCCAGCUAAAUUUUCAAACUUUCCUUGCUCCCAUCAUCCUAUUAUGCUUUUUUUUUCUUCUCUCUUUAUUAAUAUGGAAUUGAGAAUGAAAGCUUCGAAUUUGAGACAUCUUCUGACAUUAAAAAGCCAAAUACCAAUGGACUUAAAAUUGGUCUAUAACCCUAACAGUUAUGUUCAAAUUUUAAACUAAAAAGAACUAAGGAAAAUAAAAAAAUUGGGCACCAAGUGUAAUGAUCAAACUUUCAGGUGUGAAAAGCAACACUGAUAAGAAACACCAUUAUCCUUCAACAAAAGGGGCUUGAUAUCAAGAAAGCCCAAAGAGAAAACUUGCACAACAGGCCGUCUCGGUACCCCGUUUGGCUUUGUGACUUUGCCACCAAUACUUCAGUGCCACGUUUCAAUCCUGCAACGGGCUCUGACCUUCUCCGUUUUCUUGGCAAAUACUCUAACUCAUGGCGGUUCCCCUUGUACCAACCAGAUAUAAAUACAAGACCCUAUUUUUCUUCUUCCUCAAAACAACAAAAAAAAUAUUUUCUCAAUCUAUUUGCAAUUUACAAUUUCACUUGGUUUCUUUGUGAUCAAAGGUAUUCGGUUCCGAACUUGAAGCUUUUAUUCUACUGAUAAGUGAUUUUUUUUUUUUUUAAAUAUUUGUUUUGCGUGCCAGUUAUAUGCCCAUAGAAAGCAGACUUCGCCGUUGAUUUAGCAACAAUUGUUACCAAUUUCUUCUGAAAAAACUUUUCGUUUACCUUAGUUUUGAAUCAGAUAUUAUUCUGCAGUUUUGUGUUACUGUGAUAGCUUCAUUGUGGCAUUACUUCAAACACUUGUUGUGCGCUUUUUAGAUUUAUAAAUGUGGAGCUGAAACUUGUUUGUGUGGCAUUUUAUUAUGCUUGUGUGUCUGUCCACAUGCUUGCGAACUGUUGUGACGUUCAAUCUGGACCAUGUGUUCAACAAAAAUCUACCUGAUCACAGUCUGAUAUCAUAAAAUGCUAAACAUUUCAGACUGUCUUGAUAAUUGAACAUGCACCUUGUUGUGGGUGUUGGUUUUUAGGCUCUCUUGCUUUUUUGAUUGAUGAGGGAAAACCAGUUGUGCAUGAUGUUAAUAAAAUUUUAUUCGUGAUUGCCCACUUUUAAUAAGAUGUAAAAUAGUUUUGUUUAUGCAUCACAAGCCCAACACCGCUGAAGAAGUUGACGAUUUCCUUUGUUUGCUUUUCUUAUGGAAGGAAAGGUCUCCUUUUUUGAAGCUUUUUUGAAGAUAGUCCUCCUUGUUGCACAGAUGUGGCUAUAGAGGUUGUGAUAAUAAUGAACACAUUGAGGACAUUUGUGAUCUAAUUUGAUAUACAACCUUUGAAUCUCAUAGUAGUGCUAUCAUGAGAAAUAAAAGGAACCCUCCAUUUCAUUUUGGCUCUAGUGUGUUCAUGAUGUUGUGGUAUGAGCUAAGGGCUCGUAUAUCUAAUUACUUCCACUCCAAGUUUUUUAUUUAUCCUUUUAAUAUAUGUAAAAUAGUCCUGAAAAGUGUUUUUCCUUUCACUUAAAGCUAAUGAUUUGCAUCAAUUUUCUUCCCUGCAUCUUGAUGAGAUAACUGAAUUUCUUGCGGUGGCUUGUUCUGGCUAGCUAAGACUCUGGGUUUAGUUUAAAUUUGUUGCUUUUCAUUGUUUUCAAUUGUAAUCAUCUCAUCCAAAUCUUUUGUAACGACUGAUGUCUGGGUCAGGUGUUACUGAGAAUGGAAUCACAGAAAAGUCAACAUGAACAACAGCCAUCGCCUGCUGCUGCAACCCCCUCCACCACUUCGUGUCGAAAGAAGAAGAGCGAACAAGCCAGUUUCUUGGAGGAUGUGAAGGAUCAUAUUGAUGACUUUAUCCAUGCCUCUAUGGAUGAACACAAAACUUGCUUCAAGAAGACCAUGCAGAAGGUUUGUUCCCACUUCACAUUAAAUGCUAAUAUUGCUUGUUCAGAAAUGUUUUCGUAGGUUAAUUGGUUUGCUUCUGAUUCUGAUUGGAUUAUUGUGCAUUCAUUUUCAGAUGUUUGGCAUGUCAAAGAUUGUCGCUGAAAGGAGUUCCAACACCAAGGAAGUUGAAAGUUCUCUGCCCCUUCAAACCACAGUGGCAAAAUAGAAUAUCUUCUGGUGUACAAUUUGUUAAAAUUGUGGCACUGCAGUUUCAGUUUGACGAACGAGAAAAUUUAACUUUGUAAGGUUAACUGGUGACUAUUAUGAAGCCGAUUACUUAGUGUUAUGACUAUGUUCUUGUGAUGUAUUUAGCUUUGCUACUAUUUUAUUUUUUUCUGUAUGUGCCAAGUCAGUGUUGAAUUUGGUCAGUGAUCAAUUAUUGAGUAGCAAAACAAAUAGAAAAUUGACCUCCUACAUGAGAUUAAAACAGGGCUGCAUUUUUUGUUUCCUCGUACGAUCAGCUUGCUCUUUCAACAGGGGGGAAAUUUCAUCAUUGUGAAACUUGUGAAGUGGCAGGGCUGCUACUUGAUGCCACCAUUUUCUCCCCCCAUUUAUAAGCUGUGCUUGGGCGAAGUUUUUGUCUAUCAUUGGCCUCUAUGGUCUUCUAUUGUAGAAUCUGUCAGGGCCUGAGCGCCCGGUAGUUUGUUAUGUGGCGGAUCUAAGCUGUUCGAGUCUGUCUUAUUUUCAGGAUAACAGCCAUUAGAUUUUGGUAGGAAUUACUGCAAACUCACCUCAUAGGUUGUAGGGACUACCAAAUGCAGAGUUGAGCAUUAGAGGUGAUAAAUUGUUUGGAAAAAAAGAAAAAAAAAAAAAAGAGCGGGAAAGGGUGGUGGAAGGCAUAGGGCAAAUAGAGAAACCUUGCAAGUUGCAAAGGGCAAAAGAAGGGACGGGGGAAUUGAAUGGGACCUCGUCCAGCAUUGGAUGACGGAUACGACUAGAUUAAGAGCGAGCUGGUGAAUGGAAACACAAACGUAUCGUAAAAUAUGGGGAAUUUUGUGUGUGUUGAGUACAGGGGAUUGAGGGAGGGGGUUUAUACAAAUAUUCAUUGGGUGGUCUGGAGAUUUCGAACCUCUACCCACAUGAGUUAGGGGUGGCAAUUUCGGACACGACUCAAAACCCGCACGAGAAACUAACGAGUUCAACCCGCACGAUAAAAAAACAGGUUAAUUUCGGGUCAACCCGUUUAAUAAACGGGUGGGUUUUGGGUCAACCCGCUAACCCUCUAUAAUACUUAUCUAACCCGUUUAUUAAACCCGUGUACAACCCGCUAACCCGCUAAAAAAUAAAGACAAAUGGAGACUUCAACACACACACACACAAGGGCUUUUGAACCCCUAUCAUCCUCAUUUCUCUCAAACAUCUUAUCCACCAUGCUACAAACAACUUUGUGAUUUUAUGGUAUGACUUUUGAUAUUUAUAAUGUUUUUUUUUCUUUUCUUUUUUUGUGUUUUCCUUUCUUUUCCGUCUCUCUUAUCCUCUUUUGUUUUUUUUUCCUUCUUUCUUCUUUCUCCUUUUUUUUUUUCCUCUCUGUUCCUUUCCUCUUCUCUCCUCUUUUUUUUUUCUUUUUUUUCCUUCUCUUUAGUUUUCUCUCAUCUCUCUUUUUUCUUUCUUUCUUUCCUUCAAUCUUCUCUCCUCUCUCUCUCUCUCUAUUUUUUUUUCUUUCUUUUCCUUCUCUCUUCUCUCCUCUUUCUAUCUUUUUUUUCUUUCUUUUCCUUAUAUUUUCUCUACUCUCUCUGUUUUUUUUAAUUUAAAUUUUUUCGGUUGUGAGUUUUGUAACAUGCAUGUUAUUAUUUAUGAACCCGUUACACGACUCGAAACCCGCACGAUAAAAAACUACUCGAACCCGACACGACGCGUUUAUUAAAUGGGUUGGGUUCGGGUUGACCAUUCUUGACACGUUUAUUAUCCCGACACGACACGACCCAUUGCCAGCCCUAACAUGAGUAGAAAGGUGGAAGAGCUCAACCAACUGAGUUAUACCCCACUGACAUAUCGGGAUUUAUUUUAAUACAAAAAACGUAAUCACUUUUGGGCUUUCAUGAGCCAUAAUAAGGAGAAUUUUGGGAUUUAACUCAUCCAAGCGCGACUCUAACUCACGCGCAUUCUACUUAAACCCUAAUCUUCCCCUAACCAUCUCACAUUUCUUUCUCUUUUGAACUUUUGUUUUCCGGCGGCUGCGUCACUCAUAGUGCAUCAAGAUAACAAACUUUCCAUCAUUCUUUACAAAUCAACUCCACCUUCUUUAAGGUACUUGUGUACUUUGAUUCCUUUCUUAAUUUUCACUUUGAUUCCUUUCUUAAUUUUCUCUUUGAAACGAUAUCUUUGAAUUUCUAUUUUCGUCUCUUAAUUUGCUUUGUAUCUUUCACCUUUUUUGCUUUCCUUUGAUAUGAUGCUACCUUCUCUUGCACGUAAUUUCUAUCCACACAUGUAUGUAUAUCUCCUUCCAUUAAGGGACACCUUUUAGGUUCCCUAAAUUCUAAAUCAUAAAUUAAAACUUGAACUCCUUUCUUUAUAAUUCAUGGUCAAAAACUUAUGUGGAACUGUUUCUAUCAUGUGAUAGUGCUCAGUAACAAUACAGCUAAAAGAUGACAUGCGUUUAAAAACCAAUAAUCAACUUUGAAUACAUGCCACCUUUUAAUUAAAUUGUUAUGUCAUUGAGUAUUGUUACAUGAUACGAAUAUCCCCCAUAGAAGUUUUUCUCGUAAAUACCUAUCGGUAUGGAAAAUGUUGACAAAAUAUCAAGAUUGAUUUUAUAAAUAAUAAUAACAAAAAGACUGUUCAUGAUAAAUAAAAAAAUUGUUAAUUGAAUUGCAUAGGAAAGAGUUGGGAUUUAAACGAGGUUCAAGUGGAUCCAAAUAUAAGCGAGUGAAAUGUUUAUCACAUGAGUUGAGAGUUAUAAACAAAAGAAUGUGAAAAAAAUAGUGAACGUUUUUUUAAUUUCGUAUUUGAUGUAAGGGCAAGAAACAUGUUUGGAUGUGGUUACUUGGUUGACCUACAUUCUACUACAUGCUAAUCGAAUGAAGGCCACAUGCAUCUCUCUCGUAUACUGCGAGUGGUAGGUGAACAACCCCCUCCCUAAAAUCUACCUGCCAUUAUUGCUGGAUAUGUAUUCAUGGCAGAAUAUGUGGAACCUUGUAUUGGGUCCAGUUUGAACCAGUAAAGAUGUAGAUUUUGUUUCCCUUCUUUUAUUGGUGAGAGUUGGGGUUUUUGGGGUUGUGAAGGGAGCACUAAGCUUUGAAUUUGUUAAACAAAUCAGGUUGAGAUAAUAAGAUUUCAAUAAGACUAGGGAAAUGUUAUUUGUGCAUUAGGGAGUGCAAGAAGCUUACUUUGGAGUGCAAAUAAUAUCUCUUUAACUGUUUUGAUAAAAGAUAAAAAAACGAUAGAUUCAAAAUUCUAAAACAUCAAAGACAAAGAGUAAAAUAAGAAUGUGUUUUAGAAUUUUGAAUCUCAACUUAUGUGGUAAUGUUUUAUUUGUUUAUAUUUGGUUACUAAACUCGUUUAUUUCCUACAAACAACCACCUACGGGAUUGAAAUUAGAAUCACUAAUUAUUUCUUAAAGAUUAAUGAAAUUCAAAGCAACUAAAAUACUUCUGCAACCCAUGCUAUAUCAUUUGGUGACCCUAGAAAUAGUAUAUAUUGCUAGUAUUAAUUUUUCGACAAUAAAUAAUGCAACAUAUAACAAAAACAAAUUUCAGUUGCUCAUAUCAAGGUUCAUUUUGAACAAGUACAUAUUUUUCAAAUGUUAUUCACCAAACCAAAUGAUUUGGUGGAACAUGACAAUAUCUUACAUGAAUGGGGAUUGCAACUUGCAUGAAUGGGAUAGAUACAAACAUGAACAACAUUUGGUGACCAAAAUUUGAGAAAGUUUUUGUGGCUCUAGCGUUAUUGUUUCAAAAAUCAAUAAUGCACACCAACAAAAAUCCUAAAAUUUUGAACAUUGUGUAGUGUUUCUUUUACAAAUGUUAUGCAUCACAUGACAAUAUAUAUAUAUAUAUAUAUAUUUUUAAUACAAGAGAUAGUAUGUAAGUUAAGGCCAUUUUUCCCAAGGUUAGACCCCACUUGACAAUAUCUUAAUUAAAUAAAUGAGGUUCAUAUUGAACCAAAUAUAUCAACAUGUUGAACAAUAACAUUAUUGCCAGUGGAGAAUAGCUCAGUUGGUUGAGCUCUUCUACCUCCACCCGUGUAGACAGAGGUUCAAAACCCUCAUGCACCCAUUGAAUAUUUGUGUAAACCACCCUCCCCCAAUCGCUUGUACUUAAAAGAAGAAAAAAAAUCAUUUGGUGGCACAAGUGUUAUUGUUUCAAUAAUUAAUAAUGAUACAUGCACCUGCUCAAAUCCUUAAAUUUUGAACUUCAACUAGUGUGAUAAUGUUUCAUGUUCUUUAUAAAUAUUAUUUCUAACAAGUAAGAAAUUUGGAAACCAAAAACUUUCCCAAAUAUUAUCAAUCAUGUGGAGAAAUUAUAGAAUACUACAGUAGUACGACGGAAAAAUCACUCCGCAUGCGGUGUGAUGGAUAAAAUGACAAUAUUUUAAAAGUUGUAAGAAGAAAAAAUGCUAGUCAUCAAUUAUGUUCAAAAAUAUGAUGUGUUGAUACUCGUUAGUAAUAAAUAGGGUUUAAACUGAACCAGAUUUAAAUCAUUCAAACAAUGCCACACCAUUAGGUGAAUAAAAUUUUAGUGAAUAUAUUUGGUAUCCCUACUCUACUAGGAAUAUGUUGACUAAAAUGGUGUUUUCAGAAACACUAGGUAAGAGGAGGAGGGUCUAGAGUGAAAAGGGUGGUGUGAAAAAAAAUUUGGAAAAAUUUGGAAGCCAAAGGAGAGAGUGAGGAGAGUCAAUAGAGAAGACUUAAGUCAAGGGGAGGGUGUGUUUUAUAGGGGUGGGUAUUUGAACCCGUGAACCGCAUCGAAAAAGACCGAUUAGGGUUUAGGGUGAAAAGGGCAGUGUGAAAAAAAAUUUGGAAAAAUUUGGAAGCCAAAGGAGAGAGUGAGGAGAGUCAAUAGAGAAGACUUAAGUCAAGGGGAGGGUGUGUUUUAUAGGGGUGGGUAUUUGAACCCGUGAACCGCAUCGAAAAAGACCGGUUAGGGUUUAGGGUGAAAAGGGCAGUGUGAAAAAAAAUUUGGAAAAAUUUGGAAGCCAAAGGAGAGAGUGAGGAGAGUCAAUAGAGAAGACUUAAGUCAAGGGGAUGGUGUGUUUUAUAGGGGUGGGUAUUUGAACCCGUGAACUGCAUCGAAAAAGACUGUUUUUGUCUUGGAAAAUCUAGUAUAAUAAAUCAAAUUGGACCGGUUAUGUUAAGUUUACCUAUUGAUUUAUAUCCAAAAUUAUUAGUAAGCCUAGUUAAUAUUCAAAUAACAUUAACUCUAAGUACGUAAUAUCUAGAUAUUUUAGUCCAAUUAAUAACAAAAUGUCUUUGUUCAAUUUUAUACUAAAUUAAAUAACUACUCUAGCCCAAUUUUUUUUUAUUUUCGGUGAACUAUAUCCGUUCUUGUUGCACUUCCGUCUUUCUCUAUUUUUCACAUAUUUCUUUCUCUUUAUCUUCCUAUUUAUCUCUUCACCUCUUUCUCUCUUAUUUUAUCCUUGGUACAUAUUUUUCUAUAUAUCAUAUUUCUCUACUCUUCACAUCUUUAUAUUUUUAUAUUUUCAAAUCGGAAAUCGAGCCAAACUGAACCGAAAUCGCAUAGGUCUAGUUUGAUUCUAUUCUUCUAGACAUUUUCUAUAAAAACCAAACCAAAUCAGAUUGUGUGCACGUUCCAGUUUUGGUUCUAAUUCAAGAGAAAAACCGAACUGAACCGGACCAUGCCCACCCUUAGUUUCAUGUUGACUUUUGUCUUUUUUUUUUUAUUUUUUGUCUUUUUUUUUAAAGUUUCCCGCCUCUUAUUGUUCAUUUAAUCUCUCUUUCAUAUUUCAUUUGUUCUAUUUCUAAUGUCAGACAUAUUAAUUAGUUUUCUUUUUAUUUUCAUUUCUUACUAGUUAUAAUUAAUAAGCUAAUGUUUAAUAGCUUCAGCAUAAAUGAAAAAGAGCAAAGCAUUUAGAACAUGUUGUACCGUACUCGCGUAAUUUUAUGUAUUUGGCUUUAUAUGGAGAAGAAUAUAUAUGUAUAUCUGAAAAUCCCAAAUACCAUCGUCUCACGUAUACAUAAUAAAAAUUAAUACGAUUAUAUGACACAUAAAUUAAGAUUCCAUUAGUUGAAUCUUACACGUAGAAUCACAAAGCACAUUAUACAUGCCUUCGGUACAUGCACACGUAAGUACGUACGUACAUACACACACGAGCUUAUAUAGCGGCAAGAAAACAAAAAUUAAAAAAAGUGAAACUACUUGAAAGUACAUACAUAGAAGAAUCACAGGUGGUGAUUUCACAAACGAUAGUAAAACUAUACCAUGACCACAAACAUAGAAGAAUCAUAGCGAUGAUGCUUUUAUUUAUUAACUAGUGGGUAGAUGGAGUUGCACUGCUUCAGCGGAGCUUGAGGUUUCUCAUCCUGCAAAUUAAGCACAACAAAAUUCAAUGGAAGUGUUGGUUUUCCAAGGAAGAAAGCGUCUAAAAUGUUGAGCACAUAUGUAAAGGCAAGAGCUAGAAUUGGGUUACAGCAGUGUUUUCUGGUAUAGAAGCCUUUCAAGUUAAUUUCAACUUUGGUAGGGAUAGUGUCUUGGAAGUCAAUGGACAUAGUCUUAUUAAAGCGUUGGAAUGGAAUAAAAUGGAAAGGAAAGUUCAGUGUAUUUUAAGCACAAAUUUCACAUUGAGUCAAAGAAUUGGAAUUAAGUUUAACAAUAUUUAUAACUAGUCAUUUUCUGUUAGGUGGAGGACUUUGACAAUAGUUUAUGUAUAUAUAAUAUAUAUACCUCUUUUCCUCAUCAUUCCCUCCAGUGGUUCUGUAGUCUGGGAAGGGCACUUGGCCUGACUCAAUAUGCUUGACAUCUUCAACAAGACGCUCGUAGUGCCUCUUCACUUCCUCCGGGGUUUUGCCGCCGACCGCCUUAGCAACAUUGUACCAGCGGUCGGCGGUGUCCUUGUCAUACAAAGCCAGAGCCUUCUCAAAGGCUUUGUUUUGCUUGGCGGUCCAAGAGGACAUUGAACUUGAUGCCAUUAGUUUCUAGGACUGAAAUGGUUUUUUGAGAAACACUAUGGGGAAGAAGAGUCUAGAGUGAAAAGGGUGGUGAGGAAACAAACUGGGAAAAAGCUAUUGGAAGGCAAAGGAGAGAGUGAGGAUAGUCAAUAGAGAAGACUUAAGUCAAGACUCAAGAGGAGGGUGUGUUUUGUGCUGAGGGCUGGCAAUACAUGCUCUUUAUAAGGAGGGAGUCGAGGGGGUGAGGUGGGGUAGUGCCAGUUGGCAAAGAGAUCUUGGAAAAAUGAUGUGGAAUUUGAAUGAUUUGGUCACCUAGCUACCACAAAAUUAUUCAAUCAAGCAGACAAAGAUGAAGAACAAUAAUUACGGGAGAAUCAGUAUCUCAAAGAAAUUUUGAUUAAAAAAAAAUCAAUAAAGUUGAUUGAAGUCCUUUUCUUUCUUUCUUUCUUUCUUUUAUAAGUUAUUAUCAACACUAUAACAAAGAAAUAACACACUACUUGCGGUUUGCUCACUCGUUCAUUAAAUUGAUCUAAAAUAAAUAAACGGUGACUUUUUUAUGGAGUGUAAAAUUAUAAGUUCUAAAAACAGUCAAACCCGGGAACCUAGAAGCUGUUCUCUUUGCUUAUUUUGCAAAUCAACUUAACCUAGAAAUUAGAAAAAUUGGAGCUGUUUGGCCUCAUGUAAUUUGCCAGCUUCUGGAUUAAAAAAUUGGUAAGUUUGGUGACUUAGAGCCUUGAAAGCUAAGCAUACUAAUAGAGGAAAAAACAAAGUGGAAAUUCUCAAGGUGAGAGCUUCUUCAUCUGUUGAGAUUUCCUGCAGAUUACAUCAUUACCCUCUCUGUUUUAUUCUCUAACUCUGCAGGAUUUUUAGGUGGGCCUCGUGCUCGAAACCACAGUCAAUCAGGUAACCGUACUAAACUUUCACGUGUGCAUCACAAACCCUUUUUGCCUUCUCCUUUUUUAUUUUUUGUUUUACAGAGUUUCAUAGCAAGAGGAAGAGCAGGAAAACUUGUGUGGAAGGAGGAUACCUCUUUUUUCUUAUCUCUGACUAAUCACAUUAUGCCAAUUGAAAAAGUUAUCACGUGUGGCAUACCGUGAUUGGCCGGGAUCGCAAAACAGUGUUAUCUCCGCUCCACACACAAGUGUUUCCCUAAGCAAGAGGCCUCAGUGCUGCUAGGUACAAAUGACCUUGUUAGUGUCCUCUGUCCUGAACAACGUUCCAAGCUCUCUAGCUGGCCUGCUGGAUCCGUACAAUGAUUCAAUUGUGUUUUUUCUCUGAGGAAAGGUCAACAUAAUGUCACCAACUCUUCUGCAGUAGGGGCCCUUUCUGAUGUAGUUUGGUUAUUGCCGCAUAAACCUAUUGGUGUAUUCACAAAGUGUUCAAUGGUUUGAACUUGAGAGAUUUCCUUCCAAUCAGACCCUGAAAUUUCAGUCAUUUUGGUUUAAACAGAGUUCAAUCAGAACUCAUCUAAUUAUGUACCAUUUGGAAAGAAAAGGGUUGAGAUUGACCUCUUAAUUGUCAUUUCAAACCAUGUUUACGGUAAUGCAGAAAAACCAUGUGCCUAGAAAUCUGUAUCAAAUAAUUGUAUCAAAUCUGGUACCAAUUGGUAUGAAUUAUUGUAGUGAUGCUCAUGAUUUUGGCCCUUCAUUGGGCCAAACAGUUCUAAAGUUAAAUGGAGAAAUACAAAUUUCUGCACCUAUAUAUAACAAGGUUAUCCACACAUAAUGAUCUUGUUUGCUUUGUCUUUAGCUGUUGCUUCAGGAUGAUGCAUUGGAGUCACAAACACCAAUUCCCACAGCCCUCCACUUGUUCUUUAGAUUUUAGCUCAUUUUGAUCCAGAAAUCAUUGUUUCCAAUUGCUACAUUUGGUUAUUUCUCAAAUAAAAGAAAAAGGUGUUUCAACUUUUAACCUCUCAGAUGGUUCGAGUCUGGCUGGCUGUGAAUCUGUUUUUUUUUUUUACCGACUGAUAUCAUCCUAGUCAUGAACUCAUGGGCAAACUACUUGCAAUAAUGUGAUAGAAUCUUUUACUGGCCAGAGUUAAAGUUGCCCACUUGUGGUUUUUGAAUUUUUGAAACUUCUCACUUUUCCAUGUUAGAGGAAGUUUGGUUGUUUUUAGUCUUUGACCCACUAAUUUUAUUGAAUAAAUUCUCUCUUUAAGCCCAUAAAUUGUUACAAGAACCCAAAUUUGCUGAUUAAUGAUAGGAACUUGACUUUCCCUCGUGUUUAUCAUCAAUUGUAUACAACUAUAUUCUUAUAUCUUUUAUCACGUGACUAGCCAUGUUAAAAAGAGAAACAAGAAUAUUGUAUACAGCUGGCUACACCUAAGAUUAUUUCCCCAUAAUAUUUCUUGCAUCGGAUAUGUUGAGUCCCUGUAAAUUUAGCAUCAUCAACAAGCCCGAAUUCCGAACAAAACAAUACACAUUGGAACACCAUAACUGUGUGCUAGUAUCAUGUCUGCUUAGCACAUGAGCUGUAACAGCAUUAAGGGUUUCCUGUAGCUUUCAAGUAGUCAGAAGAACCAUAUUUAACUUGCAUGAAUAAUAUAAGGUUAAGGCGUAUCUCAAUCAUGACAGUGACAGAAUUUAUUUUUUUUGGGUCAAGAGAAUAUCUGUUAAGAAUAAAAAGUUAAGUCGGAGGCAUCCCAUUUUAGAGGGGCGGCGAGGUGGUGCCAUGUCUAGUCUGCAACUUGGUUAAGGUAGCCCCAGCCUAUGGGUCUACAUUUGCAAAAAUCCUGCAACUAGACCUCAGUUUAGUCAAUUCAAGACUUCUCAGAUCCACAUAACCAGUUUUUGUUUCCAGAAGCAUAGAUAGGACUAGAAUGGCAGGAAAAUCAGAUUUCUGUAUUUCAGAAAAUACAGGGCGCGCGUAUGAUUCCUGCAACUUUUUGACAACUUUUCCUCUAAUAAUGUACAUAGUAAAACAAUUUACCUAGUAUAAUGAAUCUAUUUUUUCACUAAAUUUUGUAUCUAUUUUUUUCUUUGAAUAAUGUACCUAUUAGUUGUUUUGUGAAAAUUAAUUUAAAAAUCUAUUUAUUUUUUGUUUUAUGAAUUUUUUUUCUCUAAAUAAUGUACCUAUUUUUUUCUCUAAUAAUGUAUACCUAGUAUAAUGGGGUGAUUGAUAUUGUCAAACCCAAAAGAAAUGGAGUGAUUGAUAUGUUAUUAAUAGGGAGUUUUAAUUAUAAUUAUGGCAGUUAAUGAAAUGCUUGGAAUAAAUUAUAAAUAAAAUAUGAAGUAUGAUGGCAACGAUGUUAAAACGUAAGAAUACUAUGACCUCUUAUAUCUUACUGGUCUUUUUUUUUUUGAGAAAUUCUAUGAUUGCAUUCAUAAUUCAGCCAAAAAAGUCACCAGCCAUAAAGAGCCAAUACAAAAUAGCCACAAAAGGGCCAUUAUAAUAACGGAGCGGUCUAAUAUCAAAAUUAAGACAAUCUGGCAUGUCUCCACUAACGAUCAGGCAUGAUCGAAGAAACUCUAGCAUGGACAUCCCAACUAAGAUUGCAAACUUAGAUUAAUAAAAAUAAAAAAAAGAUAAAGCUUGAAAAAACCAAGCCAUAACAAUACAAAUAAAACUCUCACAAAGGAGAGAUGAAAAGCUCUCACAAAGAAGAGAUGAAAAACUCUCACAAAAGGAGAUGUGAAAACUACACAGAGAACCCAAAGAGACUCUGCAACUUAUUCCAAACAUAAAGAAAUUGCAAAAAAGAUGGUGGUGGAGAUCCGACGCUGAAAUGCAGGUGAAGAUCCGACGCUGAGCUGUAACAGCCUAUAAUGGUUGGAUGAAAAUUAUAACAAAACUAAGACAAAUAGGAAAAAUCCUUUGUCUCUGAAAAGGGGGAAGAGGUGAAAGGAGGAAGAGAAGAGGGGAGAGGGGGGAAGAACAAUGGUUUCCUCCUCCCUCAAAGUGGAAAAGGCUCUAAGAGUAUCCUACUGGUCAUUUAAGUUUAUGGCAGUUAAUGUAAUGCUUGGAAUAAAUUAUAAAUAAAAUAUGAAGUCCGAUGGCAACGAUGUAAAAACCUAAGAAUACUAUGACCUCUUAUAUCCUAUUUGUCAUUUAAGUUUGAAAUUUGAUUUUACACAUAGAUUUAUAGAAUGAUGGGUAUAUGUCUAGGAAAUAGAAAUUGUAGGGACCUAUAUUGGACAAGCUCUAAUUUCUCAUUCACAGACGUAUAUGGAUUGUCUUAGUUAUGACGUGCAUUCAAAUUCAGUUUCUUGCGCUGAAAGUUAAUCUACGAAACCAUGUUGCUCUCCACACAUUUGUGCCACCUUGCCGUCCCUAAGAAAUUGAUCUCUUAUCUUAUCAAACAGGAUAUUAGCCAACAGUUAUGAAUUUUCUGUUGAUUUAAGGUGCAGCACGUACCGAAACAUUGAAAGUAAAUGCGGCCUCCAUGGUCAAGUUGCAUCAGUCAGGGUCAUGGGAUACUGGCCACAUGCUAAUGGGGCUAUCACUUAUCAUUAGCUUGAAAACUACGUUAAGCAACUUUCUAGGAAUCUAUACGAAAUAAGUGAUGGCUUGAGAUGCACAUACGCCCUCCUAGCAAUCGAUGUUUCGAAUCCUUAUCACGCACAGUCUAUCUCCAUUAGAAAUCCAAAUCUCUUGAUUCCCUCCUCUCUUUCAGUGUGGUCCUUCCCUACAAGUUGGAGAGAGAGAGAGAGAGAGUGGUUAAGCUUGGACUCUAUAUAUAUGUUGGUCCUGAGCCUAGUUUUGUGCUUUCUGUUUCUAUAUUUGGGUUGGUUGAUGGAGAGACUAUCCAAAAUAUCAUUCAGUUUAAGGCCUUUAAUUUCCAUGUUAAAGAACUAUGGAAUUGGGAAUCUACUACUCAAUAGUGAGGGGCAAUAGUCCACCACCCAUACCUUUCUCUUGUUGGUCCUAAGUUGGCCGCAAAGCAUAGAAAUCAUCUUUUGGAUGGAAUCUUUUAUUAAAAAGGGGAAUUGUGGAAAUAGAUAUUUAAAUUGGUGAUUUGUUUAUUGGAAGGAUUUUAUGAAUGUAUAUGCAUGGAAAGUUCUGCUUGUGUGAAUGAUGUGGUCCAAAAAAAAAACUUAUGGUGUGUUUAUUAAUUAGGAAUUGAAUUUCAAUUACGGAGGAUUCUUGUGUUUAAUUCACAUCAAUUAAUUAAAAAGUAAGUGGGGCCCACACAAAAUUAGGAAUUGAAUUCCUUAUUUUGAAGGAAUUCAAUUCUUGAGUGAGAUGUGGUAUUCUAAUUCUUAAAGAACUAACUCAUUAUGAUCUUUUUCUUUUCUUAUCUUUUUUAUAAAAAAAACACCAGGAAAAGAUAAGAUGAAAAGGGAGGAAGGAAGAGGGAAAGAGGGGGUGAAAGGAGGGGAGGGGAGGAUGGUCUGUGACCACUUCCCACUCCCCUUCCCUUCCCCCGGCUAGAGUUGGGAGAAAAAAAUUGCAGAGCAGGAAAGGCAAAUGUCGUUCUUUUUCGGGUUUUUUCUUCUUUUGCUCUUCCUCCUCUUCCUCUUUUCUUUCUUUUUAUGGUUCCCUCUCCCCCUUCCUCUCUCAUUCCCCACAUGUCCUUUCUCUUUCUCGUUUUUGUUCUCUCCCUCCACGUUUUUCGGAUCUUUUUUAUCUUUCUUUCCUCCUCUUCCUCUUUCUUUCUUUUUUUGUUUUCUCCCUUAUCCCCUUUCCUGCCAUCUCCUUUCUCUUCUACCUCUUUGGGGGUUUUGCUAUGUUUUUACAGAGUGAUUCUCAGUUUUCUAUUUUUUACUUUUGUUUUUUAUUUUUUCUAUUGUUUUUUCGGUUUGAGCCUCUUUGGCUGUGCUCGUGGCUCCCUCUAAGAGUUGGGUGCUUCUCCCCACUGUGGUGAUUGCUUAAGCCUUGUGCUCUGUGCUGAGAUUAAAUGUCUCAUGAUGUUGUGUCCCCCGUUUUUCACCAAUCUACCCCAAAUUCUCCUUCUCUUGUGUUCAGAUCUAGACUCUCCAUUGGGAUACAGCAACUAUAUCUAUAAGCACACAAUUUUAAAAUUUCCAAAUUUGUCAUAUACUUUAACUCAACAACGAUGACAUUUUAGUCAUUAUUACCACUCCUACCCCAAUUUCAUAUGGUUUAGUAAACAACUUCAAUAGGAAUCCAAAAUCUAAUUCUCCUCAAUCCAAGUCCUCCUCAAUUCAAUUCCUCCUAAUCUGAUUACGGAUUAGUAAACAUGCUAUUAUUGCAAUUUAGAGUGCUUUGUGUGUGUAAUUACGGUGGAAUACACACUUAAGUUAUUAGGGAACGGACCCCCUCUUUCACAUAUCCUACAAGUGGAGAGGCAUACACCGUGCAGCCCUGUCAUGCAUCUUGCAAUUCAAAAAUGAACUAGAAGUGAAAAGAUUGGACGUUUUGAACCCAAGAUCAACUACAUCCAGAAUUGUAGUUAUGAUACCAUGUUAGAUAAUAAUAACUUAACCCUAAAAAUUCAAAGUUUAGCAUAUGGACACUAAUGUACAUCAAUCUGACAUAGGGCACUCAUUCAUUGAUAUUGAGUACUAUUUAUUGUAUAUGAUAUAUUGUCGAUACAUAUUGAAGAAUAGAUACAUAUUGAAGGACCUUGUGAAUUGAUAAUCCUUUUUCUUUUUUUUUGGGUCGUUGUGAAUUGAUAAGCCUUAUGUGGCUUACAUCAGUUGUGAAGCGAAGUUUAGGAGAUGAACCAUGCAAAAAAAUGAUAUAUAUCUAUAUAUAUGGACUCGACUCACAGAUAAUAACCAAUAAAGAAGCACCACCAAUCAGCAUUUCCGUCAAUUUUGGGGUCACCAAGAAAUUGUUAUCAAGUUGUUGAAAGAUCAAGAUCAUUGACGUUGGGUUAUGUUAAGAAUAGAAGGACGUGGCUGGGUUUGAGGCGACAAAAACAUCAUCUUUCCAUUCCUUCUAGGCGUCACAAGAAUCAGCAGGAACAGACCAAGACAUUGUGGGGCAUGGAUGGAUUCUUCUGUCAACUUGUCAUUCUUCCCAAAGCCUAUUUUGCAAGUCAAUGCCCUUGUUUUGGGCGCUCCACGUUGGUUUGCCUGCAAUCAUUUUUUAGUGGAGGAGCUUCUUUGUGGAUCUCAUUCUCUAUUUUGUUAAAUCUUAAGUUCAAUCCUGCUCUUAAUAUGUGCUUAUGUUGAAUUGGUUUGUGUCUAUGGUGAAACUGGAUAAACGGAUUAAACGGUACAAUCACAAUCACACACGUAGCACAAAUGCUUGAGUAGUUCACUCAUGAGAUAUGCAAAACCUAACUCUAGGUUUUGUGUUUUAAUGAGACUCUAAGUUGAGGCACUACUAUGCUAAAAUAUGAAAACUAUGAGAGAAUAUUUGUUUGUGGGAAUUUUCUGUGUAUUCUUCUCCUUGUAUGAGGUCAUAUUUAUAAUACAACGAAAUCUGAAUGGGCAAGUAAAUAAUAAAUUCCUAAAUCUAUUUACAUUAGGAAAUCAGGAAUUAAAGUAAAUCAGGAAUUAAAGUAAAUCAAUUACAAUUAUAAUAUGAAUUCUUGGUGUAUAAGAAAAGUAAGUCAAUAUCCAAGUCAUGCCAACACUCCCCCUCACGUUGGUGCAUAGAUAUCGUCAAUGCCCAACUAAUCCGGUAAAUUGUGGAAUGCUUUACUGGAAAUCGUCUUUAUCAAAAUAUCCGCCAAUUGAUCCUCGGAUUUCACAAAAGGAAACUGAAACACUUUAGCCUCAAGCUUCUGUUUGAUGAAGUGUCGAUCCACCUCAACAUGUUUAGUACGAUCAUGCUGAAUUGGAUUCUGUGCAAUGGCUAUACCAGCCUUGUUGUCACAAAAGAGAUUCAUUGUGGAUGUAGAUUUAUACCCAAGUUCAGUAACUAACUUUCUUAACCAAAGAAGUUCACAAAUCUCUUUAGUCAUGCCUCUGAACUCGACUUCUGCACUGGAUAAAGCUACUACAUUCUGUUCCUUGCUCCUCAAUGUCACCAAAUUACCUCUCACGAAUGUGAAGUAACCCGAUGUGGAUUUUCUAUCUGUUACAUUACCUACCCAAUCUGCAUCUGAAUAACCAUCAAUAUUUAAAUGACCAUGCUUUGAGAACAUUAGUCCUUUUCCAGGUGCAGACUUCAAAUAUCUAAGUAUCCGAAGAACUGCAUUCAUGUGGUCUUCACUUGGAGAGUGCAUAAAUUGACUGACAACGCUCACCGCAUAAGCAAUGUCUGGUCGAGUAUGUGACAAAUAGAUCAAUCUUCCCACUAACCUUUGGUAUCUUUCUUUGUUAGUUGGAACUUGAUCCGGAUAUUCUCCAAGAUGAUGAUUUUGAACAAUAGGAGUGUCUGCAGGUUUGCAAUCUAGCAUUCAUGUGUCUGUCAACAAGUCCAAGACAUAUUUCCUUUGAGAGAGAAAUAUGCCUUGCUGCGAUCGAGCCACCUCAAUUCCCAAGAAAUAUUUGAGUCCACCUAGAUCCUUCAUCCCAAACUCAGUAGCCAAAUAAUUUUGUAGCUGUGAUAUUUCCUGUUUAUCAUUCCUAGUAAUAAUCAUAUUAUCAACAUAGAUUGUUAAUUAUGUUACCUUCCACUUCUGAUGUUUCAAGAAUAGAGUAUGAUCUGAGUUGCACUGUUUGAAACCAUUGUUCUUCAUUGUCAUAGUGAACUGUCCAAACCAUGCACGUGGUAACUGUUUUAGUCCAUACAAUGCAUUUCGUAACCUGCAAACUGUUCCAGUCUGAGUAGUACUAUAUCCACAAGAAAUGUCCAUAUACACCUCCUCCGUGAGUUCGCCAUGUAGAAAAGCAUUUUUUAUAUCAAACUGGUGUAGUGGCUAAUCCAAAUUAGCUGCAAGGGACAAUAAGACUCCGACGGUGUUUAACUUUGCAACUAGUGCAAAGGUUUCUUCAUAGUCUAUACCAUAGGUCUGUGUGUACCCUUUUGCCACAAGUCUUGCCUUGUAUCGCUCGAUAGAUCCAUCUGCAUUGUGUUUUAUAGUAAACACCCAUCUACAUCUGAUAGUCUUUUUUUCUCGUGAUAUAGUCUCCAAUGUCCAAGUCUGAUUUUUCUCAAGAGCUUUCAUCUCCUCUUUUAUAGCUUGGACUCACUUAGGAUUUUUCAAUGCUUCAGAGACCUUGGUUGGAAUAUGGAUAGCAGACAACUGAUGCACAAAAGCCUUGAAUGGUUCAAACAGCUUCUCAGUGGAUACAUGAUUUGCAAUUGGAUACUGGAUAUCUUGCCAAUAUCAGGUGAAUAACGGUUUGGUGGCUUCCCACGAUUUUUCCUAAAAGGUAAUUGAUAUCCAAUAGUUUUAUCUUCUAAAUGCACAAGUCUAGUAGGAGUAGUUACCUUAAAGAUAUUCUCAGGAGAUUGGUCCAGUGGUACUGUUGAGUGAGAUGGGGGUUCUUCAUCUUGUUGUUCGGAGUUGUCUAUAGGAAUAUGACUCGAAUCAAAAACAGUUUCGCAAGGGUUAGGCAAUAGAUCGUUGUUUGGCAGAGAGCAUUCGCACGUGCCAAACUCGGGAUCAUCGAUUGUUAUUGUUUCUUGGCCGAGAGCAAUCUUCGUGCAUAGAUGAAUAUCUUCGAUUUCCAAGAUGCUCCAAUUGAGCUCUUCACUCCGUAUCUCCCCCUGAAGAGUAGAAUUGGAUGCGGGGUCAUAGAAGAACAUCUUUGAUUCUAGAAAUGUGACAUCCAAAGUAACAUAGGUUCACCGGGUAGAAGGGUGAUAACAUCGGAAGACUUUCUGAUGAGUGGCAUAACCCAAAAAAACACAACGAAGCGCACAUGAAUCAAGUUUGCUUCGAUGAUUUUUGUGGAGAUGAACGAAGGCCACACAACCAAAAAUGCGAGGGGUAAGCACCAAAACAGAGGGCAGAGGCCCGUGUUGCGCGAGCACUUGUAAUGGAGUUUUGAAGUUCAAUACCCCAGAAGGCAUGUAGUUGAUAAGGUGGACAGCAUUGACGACAGUAUCAUCCCAAUGAUGACGAGGAACAUGGCCACCAAUGAGAAGAGCAUGGGCUGUUUCAAGAAAAUGACGAUUCUUCCAUUCGGCAACACCAUUUUGUUGUGGUGUCUGGGGGCAAGUUGUCUCAUGAAUAAUGUCAUGUGUCUAGAAGUAAGUCUGAAAAUCAUGAUUAACAAAUUCUCCACCGUUGUCAGAGCGAAGAAUCUGUAUUCAAGCAUUGAACUGUGUUUCCAUCUGUUUGUGAAAGGAUUGGAACAGGGAAAACACUUCGUUCUUAUUUUUCAUCAAAUAAAGUCAUAUCAUCCGUGCACAAUCAUCUACAAAUGUGGCAAACCAAAAAAGACCAGAAUGAGUAGAAAAAGGUGAGGGUUCCCAAACAUCAGAAUGAAUUAAAGCAAAAGGAAUAGUACUUUUAUUCAUACUUAAAGGGUAGGAUGCUCUGUGACUCUUGGCUAAAAUGCAAGUGUCACAUUUAAAAUAUGAGUCCUUAAAUACAGAAAACAACUCGGGCAAUAAGUGUCCCAUAUAACCAAAAGAUGGAUGCCCCAAACGUUGGUGCCAGAGCCACAUCUGUCGGUGCUUAUCAUCAGACGGAUGCUUCACAUUGUUGGCACGUCCCAUACUGAAGUCAUCCACAUAGUACAGCCCCCCUCUUUUAGUACCAUGCCCAAUGAUCUCAUUGGUGAGAAUAUCCUGUAGUAAACAAAAAUUGGGAUAAAUUAGUGCACAACAAUUUAGUUGUUCAGUUGCCUGGCUCACAGACAUUAAUUUAUUGGACAAAGAUGGAACAAGUAGAGUAUUAGAAAGGGACAGAGAAGGUGAAAGAGCGACAGUGCCGGCCCCUGUAACAGGAUAGGUAACUCCAUUCAUAUUGGCAAAACUUGUGCGACGGGGUGUAGUGGUAUGCAAAAAAUUAUUCGGAUCAAAGGUCAUACGAUCAGUGGAGCCAGAAUCAAUUAUCCAACCAGUAGUAUCUCGUAGAUCAGAAGUAUGAAAUACAUAGCCGCAGUUACCUGAGACAUCCGGAAGCGCGGGACUAUCAGUAGGGUCUCCUUGAGGGAACAAGGCUAAUUGGUGUUCGGGAGAGACAAAAGCAGCACGGCCGGAAUUACUAGCAAUUUCUCUGAGCUUGCGAGCGCGGAGGUCCUCCCACCUAUCAGGAUAACCAUUCAGCUUAAAACAGGUGUCACGGGUAUGUUUGGGGUUGCCACAGUCAUGCAACCACUUCCAUCAGCCGGAGCUUUGGGAGGAGAAUGUGGGAUGGUUUUAGGAGGUGGAGUACCAGCAAUAGUAGCAUAUGACUGGAUCUGAAGGUGGGCCGCAGUAGAGGAAAUAUAGGGCUCUCCGAUACGAGUAGGGGGACCUAAUCAAGGCGCACUCUUGGCCGCUAAGCCAGCGCCAGUGGGUGCAGAUAAACCCAUCAUCCCUGCUUGUCGAACAUCUUCACGACAAACAUAGGCAUAAGCUUGGUCCGCAGUAGGGAAUGGAGUCAUGUGAAAAACAUCACUUCGGGCCUUAUCAAGACGAUCAUCAAGGCCAUCCAAAAAUAUGUAAACUCGAUCUUCCUACAGAAUAUCAUUAUAUCGCUUGAUAUCACUUUCAUACUCCAUCAUAUUUGGACCACAGAAAUCAAUCUCUCUCCAUAAGCUUUGGAGAGUAUUGUAAUAGGUUUCAAUGGAGCCGCUAACUUGUCGCAUACGGGAGACUCGUCGUUUCAGAUCAUAAACCUGAGAGGUGUCAGUGCCAUCAUAGUAGGUUGUGGCAAUUGCAUCCCACACUACUUUUGCCGUCGGAAAACAAAUGAAAUUGUCAAUCAAGCUCUGCUCCAGAGAAUUGAUAAGCCAUCCUUUCACAAUAGAGUUCUCAGUGCGCCAGCAAGGAAACGUUGGAGCGGUCAAAAGAGGUUGUGGAAGAUCGCCGUUAAUAUAUCUCAAUUUGUCUUUGCCGGAGAUAUACAACUCAACAAAGUGGGACCAUAGGGCAUAGUUUGUGCCAUACAACUUUAUGCCAAUCUGUGCAGCGGAAGCUUCAUAGGUAAUCGUCGUCGGAAUCGUUGUCUGAUUCGGGUUCAAGGUCGUCAUCUGAUUCGAGUUCGAGGUCGUCGUCUGAGUAGAGGUCGGGGUCAUCUUAGAAGGAUCCUGAUUUAGGAUCGAGGUCGAGGUAUGAGGCUGCAUCUGCAUUAGUUGAGCCACCUGAGUACUCAACUCAGCUAUGGUUAGUUGAGAAGGAGAGAAGGAAGCAGUAGUGCUACCGCCAUGAGGAUUAGAAUAGUCAUCCUCCCCCAUGGUGGCGGCUAGGGUUUAGAAACUAGAGUCAACAAUCCCAAGAUCGCUGCUCUGUUACCAUGCUAAAAUAUGAAAACUAUGAGAGAAUAUUUGUUUGUGGGAAUUUUCUGUGUAUUCUUCUCCUUGUAAGAGGUCAUAUUUAUAAUACAACGAAACCUGACUGGGCAAGUAAAUAAUAAAUUCCUAAAUCUAUUUACAGUAGAAAAUCAGAAAUUAAAGUAAAUCAGGAAUUAAAGUAAAUCAAUUACAAUUAUAAUAGGAAUUCUUGGUGUGUAAAGAAAGUAAAUCAAUAUCCAGAAGUCACGCCAACAUACUAAAGAAAAGGAAAAUUUGCAUAAAUAUCACUUGAACUUUUAGGCAUGUGCAUUACUACCAUCUGAACUUUUAAUUAUUAUUAUUAACAACCUAAACUUUAGAGAGUGUUACAAUAUACCACAUAUGUCUUAAUCCAUUAAAUUUUCCGUUAAGUUUGAGCACAAUUCCGUCAAUAACAUUUUACAAUUAAAACAACAUUUUUAGAGAGUGUUACACUAUAACAAAAAAACUUAACAUUUUUAAAAUUAACAUCAUUUUUAAAUAAUAAUAUUUUUUUUUCUUUAUGAAAACCUAAUCUAAAUUAUCCCACGCUUUCUCCCAUCCCUUCCAACACUAAUUUUCCCCCUUGCCCAGUAGACCCCCCUCUGCCAUCUAUCAUCCUGGCUUUUGGGGAUAUGGAUUUCAUGGCCCAUUCCAAAUAGAUUUCUUCAAAUCUCCAAAUUAAUUUGGCCUUCAAUUAUUUUUUAGUAAAUUUAAGUUUUAGCCAUAAAAAAAUUCUCAACUUUCAAAUCAAAGACAUACAAAUAUGUAAAUGAUUUCUUAGGAAAUUCAAAAAUAAAUUAGGACAAUUUUGUCCAUUUUUGCUUCUUUUAAAAAAUUUCUCUCUUCGGCCUUUUCCAAAAUCUUUCUUAUUUUUUUUAUUUUAUUCAUGAAGUGAAGUUUCAUUCAAAAGUCAAAACGGAAAUACACGAAAAACCAUAUAAGAAAGAGCAAGAUAAUACAAAAAACUGAAUCAUUAGGGGGCAAGCAAUCCCAUAUCUAGACAGUACCAUAACUAGUGAAAAAAUAGGCUGAUUAACCCAUCUGAGUAGUGCACCCUCGAGUUGGCCUUCAACUCUUCAACAACCCACACCAAAUAUUUUAUAGAUUCAGUGGAGAGAGAGAGAGAGAGAGAGAGAGAGAGAGAGAGAGAUGCGAAAGUGGGGUGUAUGCAUAGGGUGGGAGAGGAGGCUAUUGGGCAAUGUGGAAGAAUUUGUGUUGGAAGGGGUGGGGGACGACAAGUAGGUUAGCUUUUUUUAUAAUAAAAUUUUUUAAUUUUUUAAUUUUAUUAGUUUUAAAAAUAUUAAGUUUUUUAAUUAUAAUGAAUCGACGGAAUUAUUCUUAAACUUAACGAAAAGUUUAAUGGAGUUAAAUAUAGACGGUACAUUGCAACACUCUCUAAAGUUUAGGUAGUUAAUAAUAAAAAUUAAAAAUUCAAGUGGUAAUAGUGCACAUGCCUAAAAGUUCAGGUAGUAUUUAUGCAAAUUUUUCGAUAGAAAAACAUCAAUGAAUUUUUUUUUUUUUUUAAGGUCGGAAUUAGAGUUCAUUAGAAACUUACAAAAAGGCAGAAAUAUACAGCAUACAAGUGAGCUCGGCAACAAGGCCAGAAGGCAAAAUGCCGACAACAAGCAUAUAGAGUUCAACAAACUGAGCUCGGCAACAAGGCCAGAAGGCAAAAUGCCGACAACAAGCAUAAGGCCAUUAAUGUAACAACAAAAGAACUUGGGUUACCUAUACAACAAAAACAUAUUGGGCUCCCUAUACAACAAAAACAAAAACAAAACAAAAAAACAAAAAAUUGGGUUUCUGAUGAAGUCUAAUUUUUUGGUGUAAUGGACCUGGUUAUACUUUGGAAGGUUUUUUUACGAUAUUGGUUUGGGCUUAUUGUUCUAGUGAGAGCUGAGCUAAAUGUUCUCAAAAAAAAGCUAUGAGCUACUUGGGCUUAAACCUGCCAUAUUUACCUAGAAGUGUAGCCCAAACACACUUCCACCUUUCACAAGGAAAGAUAGUGGAGUAUGAAAAUCAUAAUGUGUAAUGGAAGAUAGGAAGACUUUUUCCGGUCUUACUAUUGUCACCAUCUGAAAAGUUCAAAAGUUUAUUCCCAUUAAAAGAUUACUGGAAAGUUUUGAUAGCAAGUUAGAAAUCAUCAUUUCCUUCUUCAUCGUUCUCUUUAGAGAAUGACAAGCAUAUCUGACAAUCUUUAGUAUCGAAUCGCAUAUUUAUUUAUCUGAAAUGAAUAUUGAAAUGAUUUUGGUUUCCAACUCUGAAAUGAAUAUUGAAAUGAUUUUGGUUUCUGACUCUCUUUGUUUACUAACAUAUAGGUAUUAUAAUUAUUAUAAGGUUUAGUAUCACAAAAUGUCUUUAAGGUUUACGAAACUAUCAGAUUGCAUUCUUAAUAUUAUUUUUUUGGUCAUUCGUGGUCCUCGAGGUUAGUAUGUGUGAUCACAAAUAGUCUCUGCCGUUCGGUUUUAUCAAAAACUUUGUUAGUUUGCUGACGUAGCAUAUAUAUCACAAAACAUCCUGAGAAACACGCACAUAUCCCAAAUGGCCCAUGCGAAAUUUUUUAAUUUUUCAUUUAAAAUUCAUAAAAUUCUAGUUUUCUUUUUUAAAUUAUUUAAAAAUAUAUAUUGUAUUUUAAAUAGAUGUGACACUAUAUUUUUGAAGAUAUUGACUCCACGUAUAUGCCGCAUUAACAAAUUAAUGAAGUUUUAAAAAAAAUAAUUUAAAAUUCAUAAAAUUUAAAAAUGAAAAAAUCAUUUGUAGAAGGAUUUUAACCUUGAGAACCAUUUAUGAAUCCUAAAUCCUUGGUUUUUUAAUUUUUUACUUUUAUGAAUUUUAAAUUAUUUUUAAAAAAAUUCCAAUAGUUUGUUGAUGUGGCAUAGAUGUGAAGCCCAUAUAUACAAUAAUAUAGUGUCACGUGUAUUUAAAAUAUAAUAUAUUUUAAAAUAAUUUAAAAUUCAUAAAAUUUUAAAAAGAAAACUAAAAUUUUAUGAAUUUUAAAUCAAAAAAUUAAAAAAUUUCGUAGAGACCAUUUGUGAUAAAUGCGUGAACUUCAAGAAUGUUUUGUGAAAUAUAUAUAUGCCACGUCAGUAAAUUAAUGGAGUUUUUUAUGGAACCUAACGUCAGGGACCAUUUGUGAUUACACAUAAUAACCUUAAAGACCACGAAUGACAAAAAAAACAUUAAGAAUGCAAUCUGAUAAUUUUAUAAACCUUGGAUACGUUUUGUGAUAUUAAACCUUAUUAUAAUUCAUAAAAUUAUGUAUAUUCCACGUUAAAAUCCGUAAUAUAAUACCACAUUGAAAUCCCUAAACCCUAAACCUCUAAAAUUAUUAAUUACAGAUUGAAUCGAGCGAGUACUUGUCUCAUACUUCUCCCAUUCCAAGUAACUAGAAACCAAGUCAAAUAAUUGAAUACUGGGCCGACCGCCAUCCAGAUUCUCCGCACUGAAUUCAUCCCAUUAACACUCGAAUAAAAAAAUUACAGGAAAUUAAGCUCACGACCGGAAGUGUCCCUACUGGUUGGUGGCAAAAGAUAUUUUCAUUAAUUAAUUAGAUUCUAAACUCAUAAAUCUCAAAGAUUCCCCACCGAUUGGUGCCAAGAUAAUUUCAAUGCCACGCAGACGGUCCAAUGAUUCAAAAGAUAAGCAUAGAUAGAAUAACCCAAUCAAAAAAUUUUCAAUUAAGCAUAACAUGAACGGCCAAAUCAUAUAUACGUACUCGGUACUGAAAUUACUAGAUUAACCUCGACUUCGAUUCGAAUUAUUACCACUUGUAUUCAGUUCUGUAUGGGCAUUAUUCCAAAUUAAACCCUUCAACCCUCGUGGUUAAAAUUGUGGUAGAAUUCUAGUGUUACACGUAAUAAUUACUGUGCCAAUUAAAAUAAAUUAGUAAAAUUCACCACUACGAUUUGAGCUCUUUAACUUGAUGGAAAUUACUGAUUUAAUAGAUCCGAAAUAUUAGCUUAAUUAAAUUUAUAUUGUAGAACAACAAACGUCCACUGAAAUUUGCUUGCAUUUUGUAGAGGAAAAUUUAAAAUGAAAGAACACAGGAGAUAUGCGAACGAAGAACUAUACUUCAUUUCUCAAACACCAUUUUUUUUUUCUUUGGGAACGAAAAUACAGGAAAAAGUAACAUAGUCAUCGAUCAAAAUUAUCGAGCGCAAAGAAAACACCACCAUCAUCAAACUAGAGAGAUUCAGAGAACCAGAUCCAGAAACCAGCUAAACCCUAAAACAUAUCAAAAAAGCAACACUAAAUUCCCAAACCCUAACCCUAAAAUUUAACUCCUCCAGCUGCCGCCUUCAGAGCCACCGCUGCCCCUGGAAUAGCGAGCGCCGCCGCCCUCACCACCUCCAUACCCACCUUCACGACGGCCACCACCGCCAUAUCCACCACCUCCACUGCCAUAUCCACCACCGCCGCCUCCACGGCUGUAGCCACCACCGCCACCUUCACGUCGGCCGCCACCUCCGUAGCCACCGCCAUAUCCCCCGCCGCCACCUCCGCGGCUGUAACCUCCUCCGUUACCGCCACCACCACCGCCGCUUCCACGAGACUGAGCCUCGUUAACGGUGAUGUUGCGGCCGUCGAGGUUCUGGCCGUUCAUGCCUUCGAUCGCGUCCCUCAUGGCCUUCUCAUUGCUGAAGGUGACGAAGCCAAAGCCCCUGGACCUCCCGGUCUCACGGUCGUUGAUGAUCUGAAAACACAAAAACGAACCAAAUCGAAUCAGAUCCGUCCAUAUAAUCAUAACAAAUACACAAAAUAUGCAAAAAUGAAAAGGAACCGAUCGAUCUUCAAUCUUUGGGAGAGAAAGAUGAAGAUGAACGUACCCGAUUUUGGGAGUGAGUAAUAAUAAGAAUCAUAUAGUAACAGAGAAUCAUAGAUCAAGUAACAUAGAGAAACAGAAGAUCAAGUAGCAGAGAGAGAACAACAGAUGGCCGCGAGGCCGAAUCGGGUCAGAUCCGAUCUCUGCGUCAAACGGACCUUCGAUUCGAUGAUCUCACCGAACGGAGAAAAGGCCCUCUCCAGCGCAUCAUUGUCGGUGGCCCAGGCGAGCCCUCCGACGAAGCAACGGAACUCGAUCUCGGCAGAGGCCAUUGCUAAAAAGUAACCGGAGAAAAGAGAACUGGAAUUUUUGUAAAGGAAGAAGAGAGCAAGAGAGCACG